Molecule: long non-coding RNA, 48768 nt
Filed under: Daucus carota (carrot)
Lineage: Eukaryota; Viridiplantae; Streptophyta; Magnoliopsida; Apiales; Apiaceae
Description: long non-coding RNA (DCAR_LNC001000)
Source: RNAcentral
AAGAAACUAUCCUUCAUCUGCAAUCAGUGAAGGGAAAUACAGAACGUGUGAGAUUCAUUUUGAGGGAAUUUCCACACAAAAAUCUUUUGACUAAGCUUAGUAAAUAUAAUCAUUCAGCACUUCACUUAGCUAUAUAUCGAGGAGGACACACCGAAGUGGCUCAGGUCCUCAUUGAUGCAGCUCGCCAUUUGCCUCCUCCUCCUCCUUCAGAUGAUGAUGAUAAUUCAGUGACUUCUUUUCAAGCUUUUCUCAGGCAAGGUGAUAAAGAUAUGGACACGGCCUUACAUGCAGCAGUCAAGUAUGGUCACCUGGAUAUUGUUAAGCUACUAGUAGAGGCCGACCCGACUGAUACACAUAUUCAAAAUGAUGACGGUAAAACACCCAUGUACAUAGCUGUGGAGAAAGGGCUCAACGAUAUAGCAGACAUUAUCUCUACAACUUGCACUGCACCAUCUUUGCUGGGGCCUCGUGGUAGUACUGUGGUGCGUAUUAAAAAUCUGGACCAAGGUAUGCUCUUUAAACACUCUUUUGGUAGUUCUUUGUUACUUUUAAGCUUAAUUCUUUAUGUUUUUUGCUAAAAGCUUUCUUCACAUAUACACACAUAUAGGUAAGAGCCAGGGGGGAACAACAUACAAAAUUAUGGAUAGAUACGCUUUUUAUGUGGCGGCCAUUGAAGGAGAUGAUGAUGCAAUUCAUAAUUUGGAAAUGCAAGCUGAUAUAUUCAACGGAGGGGAAGAAACUAUCCUUCACGGUGAAUCUGAAAAUAAAUAUGCAGAACGUGUGCGAGUUAUUCUGAGGGAGUUUGCAAAAAAAAAUCUUUUGGCUACGCUGACUGCAGAGAAACAAACUGCACUUCACUUGGCAGCAAUAAAUGGACACACUGACUUGGCUGAGAUCCUCAUCGAUGCAGCUAGACAUUUGCCUUCUUCAGAUGAUGAUAAUACUCGUGAUAAACCAGUUACUUCUUUUCAAGCGUUUCUUAGGCAAUCUGAUCUGAAUGAGGACACUGCCUUACAUAAAGCAGUUUUGAAAGGGCACGCUCCUAUUGUUAAGCUAUUAGUAGAGGCGGAUCCAAGUGAUACACAUAUUCAAAAUUGGUCUGGUGAAACACCAAUGUACAUAGCAGUGGAGAAAGGGUUGAAUGAUAUAGCAGAGAUCAUCUCAACAACUUGCACUGCUCCAUCUUUGCUGGGACCUGAUUGUAGUAGUGUUGUGCCUAACAAGAAUUUGGACCAAGGUAUGCCUUAUAAAGACUCUGUCUCUUGCCUCUUUUUUUUAAUGUUAGACAUAUAUACUAUAAAGGCAUGCAUACCCUUUUGGUAAUUAAACUAUGGGGCCGUUUGGAUGAGCUUAUAAUAAGUGCUUCUUGGUUAAAGUGAAAAAAGUGAAGUAGAAGUUAGAAACAAGUUAUAAGACUUACAAGUGAUUAAAGUGUUUGGGAAAUAAGUAGAAGCCAUUACACAAACGGUACGAAUAAGUGCUGCUAACUUAUAAACCGAGAAGCUCGGCUUAAAAGUGGCUGCCAAACACCCACUAUAUUUAGUUCCUAUUAUGUAAAUUUUUUCUUGACCUAUAUAUUCAAUGUCAUGAUGAUUCCUUACAUACACACGAUUUGACACAUGUUUAUCUAUAUAGCUAAAAGCCCUGGUGGAACCCUCUAUAAAAUUAUGGACAAAGAUGCUCUGUAUUCAGCUGCCAUUGCUGGAGAUGAUGAUGCCAUAGCUGCAUUGGAGAUGCAUGCUGAUAAACUGAACAAAUACGAAGAAACUAUUCUUCACACAGAAUCCGAAAACGGAAAUACAGAACACGUGCAAUUUAUAUUAAAGGAGUUUGCUGAGAAAAAGCUUCUGGUCAAGCUUAACAAAUAUAAACAGACAGCACUUCACUUAGCAUCGUGUGAAGGACAUACAGAAGUGGCUGAGAUCCUCAUUAAUACUGCUAGACAGUUGCUCCCUCCUUCUCUAGAUGAUGAUAAUCCAGUGACUACUUUUCAAGCUUUCCUUUGGCAAGCUGAUGAUAAAAUGGAGACUGCCUUACAUGAUGCAGUUAGGAAGGGUAAUGUGGGCCUUGUUAAGCUAUUAGUGGAGGCGGAUCCAAGUCAUCCGCACACACAGAACAGUGAAGGUGAAACACCGAUCUACAUAGCUGUGGAAAGAGGGUAUUACGAUAUAGCAAAGAUGAUCUGUACAACUUCCACCGCUGCUCCUAAUUUGGAUGCUCCUGCUGGUAGGACGACUGUUUUACAUAUUCUUAUCAACAAUCUCGACAAAGGUAUGUAGGAUAUAUGUUGUAUAUAACAAUUUAAUAUGCUUUAAGAUACUUUUUUUUUGUUUUUUUAGAUGUACAGGCCCUCUUAAAACCCCUAAGCUAAGAAUUCUUACAACCUUGUCAUAUUAAUAACUGUUAUGGAUCAGAACUGCAGAUAUGUAAAAAGUAUCAUGUUUAUAUAUUAUAUUUUAAAAUUAUUUUUAAACAUGUAAAAAACAUAAAUUUAGAUUUAGAUAAGAACCUUAGUGGUUUCAUUAUUUUUUCUUCAAAAAAACGUUGGAAAUUAAUCAUAAUAUACAAACUGGUUCUACAGUAGAACCAUAUUCAUCCAGAGUGAUUCUACAGUAGAACCAAAUUUAAAAAUCAAUUUUUUUUACUUAGAUUGUAUGUGUUAAAUUGUUUAUACAUGUUAUGUAUGAUUAGUAUUCUACAUUAGAAUCAAAAUUUAUGCAUAAGUAUGUCUAAUUUUAAAAUUAUUAAUGAAAUUUUAAAGUAGAAUCAAAUGGUUCUCCACGGGACUCCAUAUAAGAUGGUUCUCCAUGGAACAAUAGCCUAUAUUAUAUAUAUAUAUAUAAUUCUUUUAUAAUGUUGAUAGACUAGUUUAUAACCCGUAUAUGACAUUUAUAAUUUAAUUGUCUAUAUUUUAAAUUUAGUUAUAGUACUGAUUAUACAAAACACUCGUAAACACCUUUUGUGUUGCACUUUCCAUAAAAUGCGACUUUCAAGUUUCUAACAGGUCUUGGACUCAACUCGUUAUACUUAAUAAUAACAAACAGUAUAGUAUUUCUGCAUCAUAAAAAUAAAUUUUAUAAUAGCUUAAAUGUUUCAAAUACGAAUAUGUCCAAAGGGAGAUUUUCUUCUAAUAUUACAGUACUUUCCUAGCAGGGGCAGAAGAAGAAGCAACCGCUGUAAUUAAGUUAAUCAUUAAAGCAGUCAAACAUGCAAAUAAGCAUGGGACCUCAGACGAGAGAGAUCAAAGGUUAAUGCAGUUCUUUAAUAGGACUGAUGAGAAGGGACGUAUGAUUUUAGAACUGGCAGUAGAGGAAAAUCAUCUGGACGUGGUUAAACUGAUACUGGCAAAAAAUCCAGUUUAUGGCCGGCGCAUAUGGCGCAUGUAUCCUGAAUUGAUGGGUAUCAUGCCUUUAAUUUACAGAGCCAUGGAUAACGAGAAACAUGAUAUCGUCAAUUUACUCACUCAAACAUACCAAAGAGGAGUUCAAAUGAUGCAAUUCCAAAAGGAGGUCCAAACCAGGGAGUCUGCCAAUGUGCACCAAUUCAUAUCUGCCAAUGUGCACCAAUUCAUAUCUGACAUGGACAGGGGCAACGAAGGUAUGUAUAAUGCCAUUAAUUUCAAUAUUACUUAAAUUAAAUCAUACUAGCUUAUAACUGGUGCAAUGCAGUUAUGUCAUUUGUUAUUUUAUUAUAAAUAUUUUAAAUAUAACUAAUUUUAUUGUGAAAAUAAAAUUAUGAUAGAAUAACAUGAUUAAAUAAAUUUUGUAUUUAACAGCCGAAUAAAUUCUUAAUAGUUAAGUCUGUUAAAUAGCUAAUUAAAAAUUAGAUUAAACACACACACACACACACACACACACACACACAUAUAUAUAUAUAUAUAUAUAUUUAGGGCUUUUUUCAUAAAUACCCAAGUCUAAACGAUUUUUUGCAAAAAUACUGUAACUUUUUAAAACAAAUUGCAAAAAUACUGUAUCUGAAAAAAUAUUUGCAAAAAUACGGAGGUUGCAUAUGCAACUGUAUCUAGCAACCACAUAUGCAGUUUCGAAAAAAUCUUUUGAAAAUUACAUAUACAGACUUGAAAAAAUCUUUUGAAAACGUGCAACUAAUUGCAAAUGGCUAAAAAUGAAUGCCCCUGCUGAGCCCAUAGCAAUAACACACAAACAACCCCAAAAUCAAUUAUACUCAAACUUAAACCCGUGCGACUCACCAUCAGCACCCGCCCACGGUCCCAUAUCUAUCUGCCUUUAUCUACUCAAACCCAACACAACCAACCACACUCCAACCUCUACACACCCAUCACAGCCACCGUUCUAGUGACCACCAUCCCCACCGCAUCCCAUUAUCAGAUUUGAUAUGCUCAAACUCAACAUAACACAAUUUGAUCUAAUUUGAUCUGCCGUGAUAUGAACAUCGUGUAUUUCAUCACAAUCAAGAGAGAGCACGACGAAUUUGUUAAAUCUGAACUUUUGAUUCUAGACGAGAGGAACAUUUGGAUGAUCUCGAUAAUUAGUAAUGUGAGUGAAUGAAUGAUACUGUUUGUUAAAAAUUCUACAAAUAUAUCUGGAUGAUGAUAAUUUACUAGUAUAACUUGUUAAAUGAAUAAUAUCAUAUGAAAUUAUAUUUUGAUUGAAUCACAUGAAAAAAAUAAGAUAUACUUAUUUAUAAAGGAUAAAAAAAAUUAAAAUUUCAUGUUAUUAUAGAUCUUCUAUUGCAUAAACAAGGUCUUUAAACACAACUACGUAACAAUUAGAAAAAAGAAUUACAAUUUUAAAGUAAUAUGAUCUCGAAGAUCAUUCAUGUAUUUGUAGCUUGAGAUGUCCAUUGUGUCUCAUUUGUCGGUUGUUCCAUGUCUUCGUGAUUUUCUUCACCAUCACUACUUUCAUCGCAAUGAUGAAAGUAUUUGUUUUCUAGUUUCUCUUUCCAUAUAAAAUUAUGAACUGCAAUAUUUUUAGUAGUUCUCUUUGUCUCUACGAAAUAUUUGAGUUUUGUUUUGUUUAUGUACGAACAACGAUUUCUAUUGCAAACUCCAUCAUUCCAUUCAAAACCUCGUGAAAAUAUUUAUGUAUUGUCUGAGUAGAGUGUUGGAAUCUUCGUUCAACCUUUAUAAAGCGAUAAUUAUGACUUAUAACUUGAAGAAUAUUUUUCUACGAUUGUGGAGUAUUGACUAUCCCGAAGCCAACCACGUUGCUUAAAAUGGUUAUAAAGUUGAAUAUAUGCAACACGAGAAAGACGCAUCAUAUCUUAACACUGUAUGCUGGAACUAUCCAUCAACUCUAAUGUACAAGCAAAUCCAAGUAAUGAAGAGGUCUUAUCUCUUAUUCUUGAACGAACCUUUUCUAGAUAACAAUACAUUAUCGUUAAACAUAACAAUCGAUCCUGAACAUCCAUAAUAUAAUCAGUAAAAGACAUAGUAUAUUUAUUCAAUGAAACUAUUCAACAAAAACAUGUAUUUAUGAAAAACCAGAAUUCUACCAAUCCAACAUAAAACGUAUUUAUUCGACGCAUCAUAAAACCUUAACAAAUAAGAAAGCUGCAUAUAUACUAGUUACUUAUUAUGUAAAUCUAAAACUUAUUUCUUGGGGGGGCUAAAAAACAUGCACCUUGUAUGCUGGUUAACUAGCCGUACAUUUCCCUCAAUGUUACAAAAUAUGAACAUGCAUAUCAGUAGUAAAAAUAUUUUUUUAAAAUUUUUACCAUUCAAAUCGAAUAUUAUUUAUUUAAACAGAACUAUGGAACCGGAGUUAGAUAAUUAGACUAAAAGUGGCUGAGGAAGUUAGAAUAAAAUCGCAAAACUAUUAAGUUGAAAUAAAUUUGAAAACCACCACCAUUACAAUUACGUUUUACAUAAUUUGUAGUCGUACUAUAUACAUCUUUUCAUUGCCUUUAAAUAAAUUCAUAGUAAAUUUCCUUUGAUAUUCAGACUGUUCUACCACAUAGCUUUGGUCAUUUUUAAGAAGAUAAUUGAGCGUUUGUUGUACCCAACACAACUUACUAAACACGUCCAAUGUACUUCUCCAAUAACCUUAAGAUUUUGGUAGAGUUCGCACUAACAUAUAUACUUAUGAACUGGUGACUGAUGAGUGAUCAAAAAUCAAAUGAAAAAGAUAUAUACUACAAGCUUUCAUGCCUUUAAAUUAAGCAAGAAAUGCACAAUUGAUAAGCUUCAAAGUAUUAAUAACACACAUAUGUAAAAACAACAGACAAAGAAAACGACAUGAAUAUACUAAUAUUUACAAUUUAGGUUGAGAAAGACUCGUACUUGGGUAGAACUAGAAGUGAUUGACAGAGACUCAGAUGAGAAGAAGAUACAUUAAAUACCUAAAUAGCAGAAAUGAUAAGAAUAGGCACCAAAAAACCUCCGACGGUAGCGGGUUAUCUUACACUACAAGAAAAGCGGCUUAUUUCGACCGGCCAAAUACGGUCGAAAUUAGCUAUUUUUGAGCAGAAACGGUCGAAAAUAACGCAAAAAACUGGUCACAUAUAACCUAAUUAGGAAUCGAUAAAUUGGAGAGCUAUUUGGACGAUUGAGCGAGAAAUUUGAGGAUGCAUCCUCCGGAAGUUCUUUACAUGUCGGUCGAGAGAGUGUUUACUGUCCAAUCCAAAUAAAUUGCUAUCAAAUAAUCUUAACGAGGCCCAUACUGAAUGAGCUAAUAAUAUCUAUCAUCCACUUGUUAUGAAGUGAUCUCUAAUUGUUUUGUAUGAUAUGUAAUACAUAGAGAUAGGUUUAACCAUAUACAGUAUAUUCCUUUUUUUUUUAACUCUCAACAUAUUUUAUAAAUUUCUAUGACAUGUAUAAGUAGAAUUAAAAAACCCCCACAAUGAAUAUUAGAAAAAAUGAAAUGCUCACAACAAUUAUUUCCAUGAUCAAUCAUCAGUUGAUCCCUCGACUAGUUUUUAACAAUUUGAAACCAGACCUACAUAUACGAAGAGAAUAAUGUAUAACUGAUUCAGUUAUUGCAAUUUGUUUGCAGAAUAUGUCCUCAGUGUGCUAAAUAAUUAUGACCUCAAAGAGCUUGUAACAUUUCAUGACAAUCUUGGAUGGACAGCACUUCACCAUGCAGUAUAUUAUCAACAUAAUUUGAUAAUUGACAAGAUAAUACAAGCACAAAAGAGAUAUGGGCAUGGAUUUGUAUAUCCAGAUAGGAUAGCCACACCGUUCCAUAUAGCAGUCCAGAAAGGAUAUAUGACUACUCUGCAACUUCUAUUAAAGUUAUGGCCAGCGACAUCUUUGACAUUUACUGGUAGUGAUAGAAAGGGGCAGAAUAUACUACAUUUGGCAGCAUUGCAAAGUGGAAAAGAGAUGAUACUGUGCAUUUUAAAAUAUUGUCCAGAAGUGUGCAAGGAGGACUUUGUAAACAAGAAGGAUGAUAAUGGGGAUACACCUCUUCACUUACUUAUCGGUCGUGGUUGCUUCAUUCCAGAAUUCUGUACAUACAAAGGACUCGAUACAAGGAUUGAAAAUAAGAAAAAAUGGACUCCUCGUGACAUGUUGUAUUUUGAAGAUCAAAUUAUGGAGGAUCAGGUACUUGCAAAAACUACUUCUACGUCCAUGUUCAUGGAAGAUUCCCCUUGAAUAUAAUGAUAAAUGCAAUAAAUAAUAUCUAAAUUACAGUAGAAAUUUUUUUUGCUUCAAAUAAUAAAAAUAUGUGUAAAUCAUCUUCCAAAUAUCUUACAAAAAAUCAUUCUUAAAAAUAGAUAUACAUGUGAUUAUCAUAUAAUAUUUUGAGGAAAAACAAUUUUUCUCAUUAAAUCUUGUGUAAAUAUUUAUAUGGAUCCCUCAUAUUCAUUUAGGUGAUGGUGGGUGAAGAUUGAUCAUGUUAAACAUUAUCUCUUGGAUUAAUUAAAGUAUGUUCAAGUUAUUGUAAUUUUUUAUCUUUUGAAGAAAAUUUUAAACAAAUUAUUAGAAAUAUUUAUUAUUACCCCAUUUAAAAUAUUACUGAACCUUAUAUACAUAUAGGCAAUUGCUCAAAUAUAAACCACUAAAAUAAAAAUUAAAAUGACCUCACCCACCCCUAUGUGUCAUCACCCACCCCGUCAUCACCCACCUAGGGCCCACCCUCAUCCCUACUCAAUCCACCCCGGGCCCUCUAGGGUUCACAGACCCUGAACAGGCUCUAGACAGUCUUAAAGAGCCAAAUCAUGGCCCCACCUUGGCCCCACUAGGCCCCGACCUGACCCUAUUAGGCUCCACUUAGACCCCGUCUAGCCCAUCUCGGAGUCCAUGCCCGAUCCCAAAACCCGCACCAUUCUACUUAAUCGCAUUGAUUUCUAUUUAGUUUCUAUUCUAGUAGUUUAUAUAUAUAUAUAUAUANAUAUCAUAUAAUUGAAAAAAUAUUAGAAAUUAUAUUAUUAUAAAGUACAUAUUAUCUAUUUUAAAUGUAAUUUUCAGUAUUCAAAAUAAUAAAAAUAAUAAAAAGAUGUUCGUUAAUAUUUGGUCAAAAAAUGGUGAUUGAACAUUAAAAGCGGACAACUAAGAAAGACAAUAUAUUUCUAAAUAUAUAUUGAUAAUUCAUAUAUAUAUAUAUAUAUAUAUAUAUAUAUAUAUAUAUUUAGUAAUAAAAAAUGAUUUAAAUAGUUUAUAUAUAUAGUAAUAAUAAUAUGAUUUAAAUAAUUGAAUUAGGUUCCAUGGAGACAACAUAUUUUUCGAGUAUUAAUGGAGUCCAAGAUCUCCGCCAUGCACUUAAUUUGUCAUCCGUCGGUCCAUAUGUUUUGACAGAAAAAAUACUGUAUAACAUGGAGUAAAUGAAAGCAGCCAAUAUAUCUCGCUGACGUGUCAAUAAUACUAAUCACAUCAUCUACACAUCUCUUCAGGUUCUUAAUUGUUGGCUGCAACUUGAUCUCAAGUCAUCUUAAUUAGAUUUUCAUUACUCUCGCUCUUAUCCUUUUCUCCACUCUCUUUUGAGUGUUUAUGUUCUGCAAUUUCUCUCCACUCUUUUUGUUGAAUUGUUCUGCAGUUUCUCUUCGCUCUUCUGCCUAAAUGUUCUCUUUUUGGAUUUAAUCUUUAGAAAUACCCCCCUCAAUUGAUGGCUGCAACUUGAUCUCAAGUCAUUAUAAUUAGGUUUUUAUUAUUCUCGCUCUUAUCCUUUUCUCCACUCUGUUCACAAUGUUUAUGUUCUGCAAUUUCCCUCCACUCUCUUUGUUGAAUUGUUCUGCAGUUUCUCUCCGCUCUUCUGCCUAAAUGUUUUCUUGUUGGAUUUAGUCUAUAGAAAUAUCCCCACAAGCAUCUGUACAAGUUAACUACAUGCAGAACAUUCAUAGUGCUAACCCUUUGAAUAAAAUCAACAGACAUAUCAAAACUCAUGUUCUGCGUCUUGCAAAGACUAGUUAUAUUUUUGAUCGUAUUUGAUUUUUAGGGAACAAUGUUCUUCGUUUGCUAAUAAAAUGAGUAUGGUUUUGUUGUAUAUCUAAUUGAGCCAGGUGAAGCAGUUAAUUUGCAAUAAUGUCGCGCAUAUACGUAUUUUGGCAUAUAGGUUAGUUUAUUAAUUUUAAAAAAAAUUGUUUCAAUCUACCUUUAAUCCUGACCGUUAAUUGAUAUAUUUGCUUAAUGGUGGAUCUUGUGAUCUUCAAGGACUCCAAAUUUCGGGGUCUCAACAGGAUCCAACUUUGUAGUUUGAUAAACUAUUUUUUUUACAAAAUCUAAAUCAACAAAAAGAACAUGUGUAUUAUAAAUAAUGCACAUAUAAGUGUAUUAUGAACCAUUCCCACUUUUCACUCUUUAGAUCAUUUAUAUAAAACAUGUCUCCAAAUAAUAAUAAUUAAUAUUAUUGUUUUUGUUUUAUUUAUAGGUACAAAUCAAAAUUAUACUUGAUGGUAUCCAAACGGAUCCUAUACGGGAUAAUAAGUUCUCCCGUUCCGUGGUCCCAAGUAAACGAAUGAGAAAAGAUGUGAUUUUUAAUGAACGAGCAAAACUGAUGAUACAUGAAAAGUAUACAGCAAUGAAAGAAGAUCCUGAUGUCAUUGCCAAUUGUUUUGCCGAUGCCAUUGGGGGAGAUCCUAUUUCCAAAGCUGCAUUAAGGAUGAAAGCUGAUAAACUGAACAAAUCAGGAGAAACUAUCCUUCACGUUGAAUCAAAGAAGGGAGAUAUAGAAAACGUGCGAUUCAUUGUGACUGAAUUUGCAAACAAAAACCUUUUAAGCAAGAUGGAUAUAUCAGAACAAACUGCACUUCACCUUGCAGCACAACAUGGACACACUCAAGUGGUUGAAGCUCUCAUUCAUGCCGCAAGACUUGUGCCUUCUUCGAAUGAUAGCAAUGUUCAAAACAGUGAAGGCAAGACUCCAAUCUACAUAGCCGCAGAAAAUGGUUACAAAGAUAUAGUAAAGGUGAUCUGUAGGGAUUGCAAAGCUCUGGUUUUAGAUGGUCCGGGUGGUAGGACAACUGCUUUGCAUGCUCUCAUACAGAAUAUAGACCGAGGUAUGAAUAUAUGAUUUUAAUUUUAUUAGGAGUUAGAUUACUUUGUUAGAAUAAAUAGUAUAUGAUAAUUUCAGGGCCCAUAAACUUGGAGGGCAUCUAAUAAAUUCAUAAACCUUUCCUCUGUGUUAUUUAUUAAGUUUUUAGGGUGAUGGUCUCAUAUUUUUAAAUUUUAAUAAUAAUAUUAUAUAUUGAUAUAUUCAAAUAAAAUGUGUUAUAUUAAAAUAUUCUACUGAGUAUUUUAUAUGAUUAAAUGUGAUAAACAUUAAGAAGUUAUCUUUAUUAUAUAUAUUAAUUAAUGUUUGAGGAGGGGUUAAAAUAAAAAUAAGAUUUAUACUUAAUAUAUUUCAAUUGAGUAUCCAGAUAUGUUUGUGGUGUUAUUUAUUUUUUUUUGUCAGGAUGUUUGUGAUGUUAUUGUUUAUAUAUACUUUUAUUAUUUCUGGUAAAACUGUGUAAACAUAAUAUUUUGUGCAUAAUUUUUAUAUUAUAUUGAAUUGUAAAAUUGUAAUUUCCUUGUCAAAUUAUAAUAGGAAAAUAUUAUAAGAGUCUUGAAGCAGUUGCUGAAAAACAAAGGUGCUUUUAAUUGGAUCCUUUGGGAACAAUAAUUGGGUUAUUGGGAGCUAUUCAAAAUUAGAGAAUUCAGUUUACUCUUAAAAUUAUAUAAAUAAUUCAGUUUGCCAGAGGUCUUGAGCAUUCUUCAGAUCAAUCUAAACACUUCAGAUCAAUCUGAACAGUUGAGAUCAAUUUUUGACACCUUAUACCAAUGGCUGUCAAACACCAAAUUGGACUGAAGAGUAACUGAAAAAAGUAGUUUUAGCCGGUGUAACACUCAUUUUAGCUUGUACUGAUUACUUGACAGAAGGAACAGAAGGAGAGAGCGAUGUGAUUCGGAUGAUGGUUGAUGCAGCCAAACGCUGGAGUAGUGUACAGGAUUUUGAAGCAUUAUUUAGUAGAACAGACGAGCUGGGAAGAACUGUCUUGCAAAUUGCUGUGGAGAGAAAAGAUGUGAACGCUGUUAGACUGAUACUGAAGGAAGAUCCCGCCAAUCAACCUGGUGGUGAAAUGAAAAGAAAUGGUCUCAUGCGUUUAAUCUGCAAGGCCAUUGAUGACGAGUGUAGUGAUGAUAUUAUCAAAGCACUCUCUCAAACAUACAAAGCUGGAAUAAAGGACCAUGAUCCCAACGACGUGCUUGACUUAAUUCGUGCUAUUCAAGAGCUUGAUAAAGGUAUGAACUAAUACUUUAUAUAUUUAUCUUAGGACUAUAUAAUACACUACAUCGGAAGGCUAACAGUUGCUAUCAUAUUUGAUUAUGUGAUUCCUUCAAGUAAUUUUAAAGCAUGUGCAGAAUAUGUAUGCUACUUCAAGUAAAAUUUUCAGAAUAAUUGAUACCAUAUGUGGUGUGAAUCAAAUUCAAAAUUAUUAUGUGUAUGUUCCUGUUUCACUUAUGUUUGAUAUAAUUAACCUAGUCAUAUAUUUAUUUUUUCUUCAGACUCUGUAUUAAGUCUCUUGGGAAAGGCCAAAAAGCUUGUAACUUUUAAAGAGGAUAAUGGGUGGACACCACUUCACUACGCGGUGUAUUACGAAUUUGAUGCCAUACUUGAUGCCCUAAUAAAAGCACAAAAAGAUUUGGAACACCCAUUUGAUUAUGAAAAUAUGGAAGCAACUCCAUUUUAUGUAGCCAUCGAACGUGGAUAUACUUCUACGUUGGUACGACUUAUGGAAUUAUGGCCAGAUUUGUCUUCUGAUGAGUGCUCUCCAUACACACUCGUUACUCAAGAUGAUCAAAAUAUACUACAUAUGGCAAUUGUUGCUCGGGUUGGUGAAAAUAGAAAAGCUGUUGCAACUGCUGCUGAUAGUAGAAAAGAGAUGGUACAAAUGGAAUUAUGGCCAGCUUUGUCUUCUCAUGAGUGCUCUCCAUACACAUUCGUAACUCAAGAUGGUCAAAACAUACUACAUAUGUCAGCUGUUGCUUGUGCUGGGGAAAAUAGAAAAGCUGUUGUUGUUGCUGAUGCUGUUGAUAAUCGAAAAGCUGCUGCUGAUAACAGAAAAGAGAUGGUACAAAGUAUUUUGAAAUAUUGUCCGAAUAAAUACAUGGACAAGAUUUUGAAACAAAAGGAUAAAAAUGACGAUACUCCUCUCCAUCUACUUAUCUCCCAUGGUUGUUUUAUUCCGGGACUGAUAAAGCAUAAAGGACUUAAUACAAUGGCAAGAAACAAGAGAGAUUUUACUCCUCGGGACAUGCUCUAUGUUGAAGAUGCUACUGUUGCCGAUCAGGUACCUAAGGAACCUCACUCAUAUAUUUUACUAAUUGAUGAAAACUAGUUUUCUGUCUUUUAUGAAACAAAAAAUAACGAGGUACCGUAAACGGUAAAACCUGUAGUCUUGUUUAUUAUGAGUAUGUAUUAAAUGGUUACCUGUCUUUACCUUCCAUUCUUGUGAACCUUGCUAGCUAGAUCUUUAGCUAGAUCUUUGGCUGCAGAGACAGGCAGGAGCAAUUUUACUGCAUUGAUAUAUUUAAUAUCUCUAAAGUUUCAUCGCAGUCUUAUUAUAAAGGAUCAUGUCUCUGUAUCAAGAUUAUGAGUAAUUCUUUGUUGACCUUUUUCUAUAGGUGCAUAUUAAAAUUGCCCUUGACGAGGUCCUGACUAGUAAAUCAGGCUGGAAGCUUUGGGGUAAAAGAACAGAGAAGAAAGCGGAUAUUUGGAGAUGUAAUAAAACCCCCCCAAGUAAACGAAAGGAAAAGGAUGUGAAAUUUGAGGGAGAGAAGAAAAUUUUAGAGAAACAGAGGACAAAGGAUCGAAAAACAUAUAAAAUGAGGACCAACACCCAAAUACUAGUUACUGCACUGACAACCACAGUAACUUUUACGGUAGGAUUUACUAUGCCCGGUGGUCUCCAUCAAAGUGGAGAGGUUGACGAAGGACUAGUGGUUCUUUCCAGAAAGAGAGCUUUUACUGUAUUCAUGGUAUCGGAUGCACUAGCUCUACUCAUGUCAACAUCUUCAUUGUUUUUCUACUUCCUUGAGUCGAUGAAUGAAGAUAUCCACCAAGUGUCACUGCUUAAUGCUUCAUCAACUGUGCUUAACAUUCUUUCUAUUUCGGCAAUGAUGGUGACUUUUAUUGCAGGGACGUAUGUGGUCUUAUCCGACACACCAGUUCUUGCCAUAGCCAUUUGCAUCAUCGGUUCUCUCUUCUUUCUUCUUAUUCUUGUUCUAUGGAUCAUCAAGAUAGUAUUUGAUCGUUACAAAAGAAAUAAAGAUUGAGUAUGCAUGUCGUUAUUUGAACAUGUUUUAAUGAAUCUUCAGAUAUCAUGAUGUAUCGUGCAUGACUCCAAUAUCAAGUGAUCUGUAAUUGUGUAUCAUUCUUUUGUACCUAAUACUCGCUUAAUGAUCUCAAUAUGCAUUAUAACUAUUUCUGAAGCAUAGGUUACCGAAUAUCCUUCUUAAAGCUGGAGAAGGAAAGAGGACUUCAACUCCCUAUUAACCUUGAGUUACAUUAGAAGUCAGAACCAGCGUCUCUAUUUAUUUCAAAUAGAUCAUUUUAAACUAUGAAACUUUCUUUUGUUGUUAUAGAACUCUAUGCUAUGCAUUUUAUCCCAGUGAAUUAGCUCUACACUUAAUUUCAUUUGUUAGUUUGAAAUGGUCCUCCAACACAGCCUCAUAUUCUCCGCGUAAAAACUUGAAGAAAAUUUAUGUCUGGGCCCUUUAAUAUUUUAAAGAUAUAUAACAGUCCAAAUUUGAAGAAAAUUAAAGCAAAGAAUGUAUAUAAUGUAUCAGAAAAUUUCAAAUGCCACCUUGAUACUAUAUUUGAAUCCUAAAUUACUGGCAGUCCUGGACUCCUAGUGGUGCUGCAGUUCAGUACGUCAAUGAAUUCCCAGGUUGCUGGUAUAGGGACCGAUUAAAAAUAAUCCUAAUUUUAAGUUUCAACAACCUAUCAUAAGAAAAGGAGUAACUAAGAUAAAUGAACAUUCAGCUGUCAAAGAUGACUAGUACUCUCUUUUCCCUUUUAGGGGUAUUGUCCGAGAAUGUACAUGGACAAGAUCUUGAAACCGCAAGAUGCCAAUGGCGAUGCACCUCACCAUCUACUUAUUUCUAAUGGUUAUUUCUUACCAACAUUCGAAAAAUACAAAGGAUCGAAGUUUGUUUAUAGAAUGACAAAACCAAAAAAUUAUACUACUCAGCGCAUGUAAUUUACUGAUGAUAUUAAGACACCUCAUUUUUUUUUACUUAUCUACGAGAACAAGAUUUGUGCUCUUACCUUAACAGAGAAAGAAGAAAGUAGAGCUAAACGUAGAACUUUUAGUCCUUUUUACUAUGUGUAUUGUGUACAUAAUAAAUGGUUACCUCGUUUUCUUUUAUUACAAUUAACUCUACACUUCAGCAUGUUGCAUCAGAGGUGCUUAGGAGUGUAUUUACUGCAUUGACUUGUUAUUACUUCUAAAGUAUUAUCACCAAUACUAUAUUGGUGUGCCCAUUUUCCGCAGCUAUGAAGGGUGGAGUUUUACUUUCACUGUUUUAAAUAUGUCCAUCACUUGGAUCAGCCUCCACUAACAGCUUCACAAUAGGCAAGUGACCAUGCAGUGUCCAAAUGUCACUCAGCUUGUGUAAGAAAAGCUUGAAAAUCAUCAAUAGUUUCACAAGCCUUUCUGGCUGCAUCAAUAUGGAUCUCAACUACCUCAGCAUGUCCGUAAUAUGAUGCCUAGUGAAGUGCAGUUUGUCGAAAUGUAUCCAGCCUGUUCAAAUUAUUUUUGUUUGCGAACUCCUGCACAAUGAAUCGGACAUUCUCUGUAUUUCCAUGCUCAGAUUCAGUGUGAAGGAUGGUUCUAUCAUAUCCGAUCAGCACAUCAACUUGCAUCUCCAAUUUAGAUAUGACAACAGAAGCUCCAGCAACUGCAGCCAGAUACAAAGCAUCUUUAUCCAUUAUUAAAUAGUACUUCAAGUUUACUUUACCUAUCAAUUAUACAGAGGCUUGUACUUGUAUGUAUGAUAAAAAAAAUUUAGAUUAAGUAGAGACUAGUAGAUCAAUGUGAUAAUAACUGCUAAACUCACACUAACAAGGAGAAUGGGACUAAUCAUUUACCUUUCCCUUUACUAAUCACUCCCUGCAAAAUAUAUUUUUAAUAUAGUACAACUAAAUAUUUCAAUUGAGUUAUGAUCCAAAAUGGAUCUAAUUUUUUUGAUAAUAUUUUUCUCAUAUCCAAUUAAUUUUAGAUUUUAAAAGGUAGUAUAAUAUAGAAGACUUUAUUUCAUGUUAUAAUCUUCUAGCUAGAUAGAACUAAAAUUAAAAUAUUCAUUUUUAUUUUUCUCUACAGAGCAUCAUGUUCACAAUCAUUGACAUUUGGCUUCAAAAAUAUUGCUAUGGUAAGCAUUUAUCUGGCGAUGCGAUAUCUAAAGAAAGACUUUUCACUGGUGCAAUUCUUAUUUUGUUCUUACAAAAUUCACAAGAACUGAUAUGCUCUCAAUGCAAUUUCUUUACAAAGAGAUGGAUUCGGAAAAUAGCUGCCACUAAUGAAAAACUUCAGUCCUUUCACUAAUUUUAAAUGUCUACAUCCUCUUGACAACCGUUAACACUUACUGACAUCACGCUGUAGGAAAUAGAGCAGCUAAGUAGCAAUAUGUUGCUUCAUUAUAGUGCAACAAGCUGAAUAAAUAAAAUUGAAUUUAUUUGUCGCAGAUCAAGUCUGUUUGGCGAUCAAAUUGAAUAGGCGGUCACUAGAUCAUAUGCAUGUUUAAGCAUAUAAUCUUCUGCGUAAUAUGUUUCAUUCCACACUUAUCAAUUUUCUUACCUUUAUUCAACCUAGUAUUGUUAAUAGGAGUAACAGACACAUGUAUUCAUAUAAAACAAACUGGCCAAAACAGAUAAAAAUUGUGAUAGAAAACGUAUGAUUUCACAAUGUAAUAAAGAAUAUACUCUCAAAGCAAGCAUCUUUUAAUGGUCCCCUCAGUGUACAAUUUUGUUAGCAACUUAUCAUAGGACAAUUUCCAUUAUCUGGCAUGUAGCUGGUAGUUUAAUAGUGUGUCUUUACUAGUUGGUCUAAUUCUCUCCAUUUAUAUAGGAUGGAUUGAGUCCUUUUCUAAGAUGGGAUGAAUUGUAAGAACUUCAACAUUUACCAAUAAUUUACAAAGGUUGAUAACAGAUAUAUAGCAAUAUGCAAGUUAUGUUUUAUCCCAGCUAUUGUGUAAUGUAUGAACCUUCAACAAAUCAGAUCAAGGGAAAAGGUGCCGAAGGAAUGGACUCUAUUACUUGAUAAAACAUUUAAGCCAACACGUGCCAAAUGCCUAGCUGAAAAUACCUCAAAUGAAGCCUAUUGGAUCUCUUCUAGUCAACUCAACCACAAACAAUGAAUUGAAAGAAGUGAAAAGCAGAUGAAAUAAAUAGCCUGGAGUAAUGGCACAAUACACUGGGGCAUGCACCCAUGACCACGAUUAAACUGAUCAAAGCCAUUCAGACUACCGAGUAGCAAAAUGCAAAGGUAUGUGUGACAUGCCAUCUCUUUAAAUUUACUAGACUACCUUUCAAGUUGAGUAAAUCAUGUGCCGUAGAAAAGUUUGAUCUUAUACAUAUUGAUAUAUGGGGGACUUAUUAGCACUAAAAGGAAAUUUAGGUAUUUUCCAACUAUAGCUGACCAUCAUAGUAGAAAUACCUGGAUUUAUUUGCUAGAAUACAAGUCAGAUUAUCUAGCGAAUUUAGGAGAAUUUAUGAGAGUUAAAUGGCGUUUUAGUUACUCAACUGGCCGGAAACUUGAACUGGUCCAUCCAACUCAAAAAACUUUCAGUCACAUCAUUGUACAGUUAAAAACUUUCAUUCGGAUCACUGGCCGUUAAACUCCGUUAAAUAUUUGACGAAAAGCUGAGUAAGCUUGGUGACUUGACUUGUAUACAUCCAUCGUGACAUGUACAAUCAACUGAAGAGGCGUUUUAGUCACUAAACUAACUACAAAAUUGCAAUCGGUUCAUCAAACUCAAGAACUUUCAUUUGGGCCAUUGAUCAUAAUAUCCGUUAAGAAUUAAAAAAAAAACGAAGAGUUCUCCUGAAAUAUGUAAAAACACACUUUGACAUUAAACAAUUUGAUUUGAUAAUGCUUUUGAAUUUGACACACAAUUGUGUAUAGAAUUUUGCUCAAUGUCUUGCGUUCAAAGGCCCCAACAAAAUGCUAGCUAGACUGGAAAUGUAAACAUAGGCAUAUACUUGAAAUUGUUAGAGCCCUCAAAUUUUAAGCAGGUCUGCCAUUGUCCUUAAGGGGACUUUUGUACUCACAACUGUCUACAUAAUCAAUAGGCUGCCGACUCAUUGGGUCGCGCAACACCCGUUAACUCCGCAUUAGUAUGAUAUUGUCAGCUUUGGGCCGUGGCCAAGCACGCACGGAUUUGUUUUCGGGCUCCUCCCAAAAGGUCUCAUACUAAUGGAGUUCUUUGGCUGCUUAUAUUCAACCUUAUACCGCCGCUACUCAUUGGUUCCUCAUCUUGCGGGACACGUCGUCCGACCACCUUAGUCAGAAAGACUUUCGACACAAGCCGUCCAAGACCUCCAAUCGUAGUUCAGCACAAGCCGUCCAAGACCUCCAAUCGUAGUUCAGCAGAGCCUCCCUCCACAUCACACAUCUGUAGCCCGCAACCCCAGGAUCAACUUUUCAACCUGGCUCUCAUACCACUUUGUUGGGUCGCGCAACACCCGUUAACUCCGCAUUAGUAUGAUAUUGUCCGCUUUGAGCCGUGGCCAUGCCCGCACGGAUUUGUUUUCGGGCUCCUCCCAAAAAGGCCUCAUACUAAUGGAGUUCUUUGGCUGCUUAUAUUCAAGAUAAAUCUUCUUUAUUUUUUCGAUGUGGGACUUGGGUUGAACCCACUUAACAAGACGAUGAAAAUAAAGGUAAGAAAAUAAUAAUAUGAAAUGACGAUGAAUCUAUACUUGUGUUCUGUGUUAUCCGCGGAUACCCCGAAGUGUCCACGUCACAACCUCGCGGAAGACACAGUAUCCGUGGGAAAAAAACGCUGAUAGUUACAAAAAUUUCUUUUGUCUGAGCUGUUGGAUGGGAAAUAGUAUGUUGGAUACAAUCAAUUGUCAGGGAACAGGACCCUAAAUACAAUGCUCAUAAGCCAAAAAUAGUAUAUAUUAUUCAGUUUUCUUAAGGAGCCAUCUGUCGCAGACUACAAAUAAAAUAGUGUUAGUCCGCACAUAUUUUAGUUGUGCUCAAGGCAUGGGCAUGGCUGCAAGGGCCAUUUUCGACAGGAACUAAAUAAUGGGUCCUUUUCAGCUCUCUUUUAACAGGUUACCGACUUACGUUCACUUGAAAGUAUUGUAAUUAUUAAUUAGACGACCUUAAAACAUUAAGUAACCUUUAAACGCAUAAAUCUCAUUUUGAGGAGAUAAAUUUGCAAAAAUUAUAAAGGUGAUUUCAAUAAAUAUUUUGUACUUUUGAAAUUUAACUUGAAAGGAACUUUUAACAUAUAGUAUUUGACAUCUUUGUUUCAGAAAAAGAGUUUUACAGGUGAGAUGGUUCUCAUACUAGAGAAGACUCGAACAAUGUAUGUGGAUUAUUGAGAAAUACUCCUAUAGGCUAUAAGGAAUUGAAAAGACGAAAAAAUUUCAGGACACCUGAUAUCCCUUUGUGCAAGGGCUUUAUACCGGAUUCAAUUUAAGAGACUCUUGUUUUUUUUUUUUUUGAAUAAAUGAGUUCAUUCAAUAAUAAAAGGCCAUGUUUUUUUUUUUUUUGAAUAAAUGAGUUCAUUCAAUAAUAAAAGGCCAUACGGGGCAUUUACAUAAACAGUCGCGUCGAACAAACAAAAUACAGAAACAAUCACCGAUCAAUCCAUUCUUAUUGGAGAUAAAAUCACGUGAUUUGUUGAAGAUGAUAUAUACUGGAUUCAGUUUAAGAGACUCUUGUUAGAAAUUGCCUUAAUAUAGAUUAAUAGAGUAAAUUUAAUUAAAAUAUACGUGUGGGGGCGCAGAAUAUUUAAAAAUUUAAUACAAAGAAAAGUUCUAGAAACUUUUUUUUAGGAGGACAUGGUGCUCCUGAUACUAAAGAACCCCCGAGCAGUCUAUGUUAAUAAUUGAGAAAUAUAAUUACUAAAUAAAAGCAAAUGGAUAGACAAUGGAUUGAGAGUGCUUGCAGAGAAGAAAAUUCUUCUCUGGGAAAUAAUUUAUAGGAUUAUAAAAUGUCAAAACAGUUACUGUUACUCAUUUAAGUCUAUAGGACACUGUAGGGCAAGAGAGUACUGUGGAUUCUAGCUUAUACUUCCAACAGCAUUCUAGCUUAUACGUCUGUGAAUGCAAACCAAAUAAAUAAGCUGUGUUUAGUUUCUUGCCUUUGGAAAUCAUUAUUGAAGCUUAGUGCCUAUCUCUUCUGUUGCAUCAUGGUUAUUUAAUCGACAUUCAAAAUGGUUAACCCACUGGAAUAUAUCUUUCCCAAGCAUCGGUUAUUAGAACUUUUAUUAUCUGUUCCACUUUACUCACAGUCUCUCAUGUUGGUAUCAACAGAUGUUCCUAGAGCUACAUCUAGCAGACUAGCAUUACAGCUUAAAGAAUGUUACAGAAUCAUCUAACCAUUGUCUGAUUAUUUUGAGCUCAAGAUUUCAGUGAGUAGUUUAUUUGUUAAUAUCUCUGCUACAUAUAUACUACGUAUUAUAAUUUAUAGAGUAAUUAACAGUUUGCAUCCCCUAACUUAGGUGGUUUUUGGCUUUUUGCGAUUUGGUAACGUAUUUAUAAUGUUGGCACUAUGCCUCCCAUAGCUUAUAAAAGUUAAACAAACUACAGCCCAGUGUGCUCUCUCCGUUAAGACAGUAACGGUUGACGUUAUUGUGCAAGGGUAAAGUGAGCAUUGACGUUAUUGUGCAAGGGUAAAGUGAGCAAUUCAUGUAUAAAAUAUAUAAUAGUAAUGCAAUACAAAGCCAACACUUUCCACAUCUUCUCCAUCACAGCAAAUCUUAUUCAUCACAGCAAGCUAAAUAAGUAAUGUAGACAGCCAGCUAAAUAAGUAAUGCAAGUCAAAUUUCAAAUUUUUUAAUAAUUUUUCACUUGACUGAAAUUAAUAUAUCAUAACAUCCGUACAGUUGGAUCGUUGAAAAAAUAAUUUUAAUAAUUCAUUUCGUUAAUCAGGAAUGAAUCUCAUUUUAAGGAAUAGUACUUCUUAUUAGAUUUUUCUUAUAAAGUCAUGCAAGUCAAAUUUCAAAUCUUUUAAUUAUUUUUUCGCAUGACUAGAACCAAUAUAUCUUAACAUCUGUAAAGUUGGAUUGUUGAAAAAAAAAUAUUUUAAUAAUUAAUAUAUGUAACAUCCGUACAGUUGGAUCGUUGAUUAAAUUAUUUCGAAAAAUUAUUAUAUUAAUUAGGAAUGAAUCGCAUUUUAAGGAGUAAUACUUCUUAUUGGAUAUUUCUUUUACAAAGUCAUGCAAGUUAAAUUUCAAAUUUUUUAAAUUAUUUCACCCAAAAUAAAUAUAUUUCUAUUCAUAUUUAAAAAUGGGUAGAUAUUUUAAUUUUAAACUAGAUAAAUUUUAACAUGUAAUGAAAGUAAUUAGAUUUAGGAAAGAUAAAUUUGACAGCCAGCUGUCAAAUUUGACCGAUUUCAUUUUUGACCGAAGGCCGUCAAAAUUAAUGACGUCAGCCCUAAUUUUUUUGGAGGGAAUUUUUCCUCCUAUUUUUUGAGGGACCCGCAUACUAAAUAUGACCGAAUAAAUUUCACCGGUGCUAAAUUUGACCUUUUUGGUCAAAUAUGAAAGCGGUCAAAAAUAGUCGGUUAAUUUUAACUUUGACUUGAUAUCAUACGAAGUUGACCUUGAAUUUGACUGGUCAAAAAUAAUCGGUCAAAAAAUACCUGGUUUUUCUUGUAGUGGGGAUUUGAAGGGAUGAUGUUGGGCGGGAAUGAUCAGACAAGGAGGUUAUUUGUUUUUUUAUUACAUUACAUUCUUACAACAGACGCUGCAUCACUAGUCAAUAACAUUGACCGUCAUCUUUUAACUGAGAGAGCACACUGGGUUGUAGUUUGUUUAACUUUUAUAAACUGAGGGGGGCAUAGUGCCAAUAUUAUAAAUAUACCUUACCAUAUCGCAAAAACGACCUAAGUUAGGGGAUGCAAACUGUUAAUUACUCUAAUUUAUAAAUGAACUGCUAAAAUUUUACCAGCUCCUAUUAACGACGAACUUCUUUCUGCUUUUGGUACGAAAGGCUAUAUUAAUACCUGUAUAAGAUGAAUAGAACUAACAAUACCUACUGAAAAUCAAAUGGGAUGGUGGGGUUUUUUGUUUGCUUGUGUACGGAUAAUGAUCAAUAUGGAAAUUGUAGUAAGCAGUGAUCAGUUUAAAGUUGUGAAAAUAGAAUGAUGGGCUCCAGGGACUUAUUAAAUUUUUCUUGAUUUCCAUCUCAUCUCAUUCACUCAAAGGACUGCAACAUUAAAAUAGUGAAGUCAGCACAGCGUCCUGAUGGGCUCACAGUCAAAGUUGCCAUCAUUUCACUACAAGGAAAACAGCAUCAGACAAGCGUUUUUGCCCGUUGUCUGAUACCAAGAAAAACCGUGGUCUAUUGCGAUGCCGUCUGAUACGCGCCUCAGACAACGGUACUGACCGUUGUGUGAGAUGAAGAAACACAUCGGUUUAUGUUUAACUGCGUGUUGUGUUAAACCAUUGAACGACAACGGAAUCAUUUUACAAGGUGUUGUUGUAAACCAUUAACAACAACAGACUUGUUUUCAAUUCGUGUUGUUAUUAAGAGUAUCCACAACAGUUCACGGGUUUACCCAGUUGUUGAUAAGAGUAUCAGACAAGUUUAGUUCUGUUACUACAGCUCGUGUGUUGCUUUCUUGUACAAUGGUCCGACAGAAGUGGCCACAUGUGUAAGGGUCCAUAUCACAAUACUUUUUAUACUAGAACUAUUGUGUGAAUCCUUUUCUACAAUAGUUUUUGUUUUGAGAUUCUCGAGUGAUAUUGCUUUAGACAAGUAUUGUUCUGUUAUUAGGGCUCGUGUUUUGCUAUCUUGUACAAUGGUCUAGGAGGAAUGACCACUUGUGUAAGCCUCCAUAUAACAAUACUUUCUAUGUUGGAACAAUUGUGUGAAACAUUUUCUACAACAGUUUUUAUUUUGAGAUUCUCGAGUGAUUGUGCUUUAGACAAUGGUUUGUGAGUACUAUUUACUUAUAUGUAUAGGUCUUAGACAACGCUUUUGUUCUUAAUAUUGUGUCGUUUGUCUGGUUUGGGACAACUGUUUUCUUCAUCUACUUUGUUGUCUCUUAAAAAUAUGAACAAUUGUUUUUGUUUCAUUACUCUUGUAAGUCAUUUGUUUGGACAAUGGUUUAAUAAAAAAGAGUAAUUUUUUAAGUUUUUGUGAGACAAUACUUUUUAUCACAGUGGCUAUUGUAUAAUGUUGUUUAUAACAAUGGUUAUUGACAUGUCUCAUUAGCUGAAAAUGUCAUAGACAAUGGUUUUAUCAGAGUGACCAUUGUAUUAUGUGACUUGUAACAAUGGCCCUUUACAUGUUCCAUUAGGUAAAAGUACAACACACAAUGGUUUUCCAUGAUUCAAAUAUGCUAGCCUAGACAAUAUAAUUAAUAAUGCCAAAAAUUGAAAAACAGAAGUUUUCAUUACCAACAAACCAACCAGUACAAACAAAAUACCAACCAACAACUACCAAACUAUAUAUCCACCAAGUAAUAAUAUUCACCAACCAAUAUUCACCCAAGAACCAACAAUUCCAUCCAACAAAAAAUUUUUACAUGAAAAUAAACAACUCCUGACUGGCCAAUGUUAAUAUAUUUUUGGAUGCACAUAUCCAAAAAAGAGAGACAAGUCUGAUUGCAUGCAACAAGAACAACAAUCUAAGUCAACGACAACUCCCAAAAUAUAUAUAUAUGUGCAUCCUAAAAUAAACCAGUCAUGUAAGCGGCUUAACUAGCAUGCUGCCUCAUGAAAUACUUCGCCCACGUACACUUCAUUUCAUUGAGGUCAUCGGUAUCACAAACAAUGUUGGUCCUCCGCGCCCACUGAAAUAAUAGAAAUUAUUAGUGCAGGCGAGCAAUGAAAAAUGAUGACAAAAGUUAUGCACAAAACACAAGCAUACUAACACAGAACUGGAAAUUGUACUUUUUAUACCUUUGUUGCAAACUUCAGUUCCUUGUCGAGACAGAUUUCCUUCAUAUAAUGCAUUAGAAAAAGACCACAAUCAGUGGUCCCAGUCUGGGCAGGAACUCCCUACAAAAAAAAAUUAUCACAUAAAAUGCUUAUAAAAGACCCAGAAAUUAAUAAGACUUCAAGUUUGAGAAUAUUUAUACCGCUAAAUUCUCCCAAUUUAUUUUCUUCUUAACAAACCUCUUCAGGUCCUCCUUGUAAAUUUUGAUGCCACUACAACAAAAUAAAAUGAAAGAGCAUAAAUACAUUUUUCCUUAGUUGAUUCAUAAAUUAACAUAGAGUUUUUGUACUCACUUGUUAACCACUUCGGUCCAUUCUUCAUUUGCGAUUCGUCUCUUUAACGGGUCCAUAUGGUAAACCAUUUGUGCAUCUGGAUUAACCACAGUAAGUGCCCAGUGGUUCCUACAAGAAAAAACCAAGUCAUCCUUCAACUUUUAUUUAUUAUUUUUAAGUAAUUGACCGAAGUGGUAUUGAUUAAUAAUCACGUUAAAAAAGAAAAAAGACAUGUACUUACGUGUGGUGAUAUGGCAAAAGAAAAACUUGGCCUGGCUUGGCAUUUUUGAAUCGAAGAGACAGGGCACGUGACCUCUCUGCCGGAGUACCACAACCAAUGGCGCCAAUCUUGGCCGGAUUAACAAAAGUGAUCAUGUCUGUCAUUUUGUGUUUUCUCAAAUUAUCUUGGAGAACACUGCAUAAAAAGAAGUAAACAACCAUCACCAAAAAGUAUAAAUUGCAUCGAGGAACUAAUAUAAAAGUAUAGGAAAAUUUUCAAAUUUGGCACUUACUUGAUAAACAUGCAAAUGACCGCUCCUGAAAUUGCACCUCCAAAGCACAAAGCUUUCAUAUCUGAUUGAAACAAACGCUUCCUAUCCUUCGAUCCAAAAGCCUCUUCGGAUAACUGAAAAGUGUGUGAGCGACCAUCUUUCAAAGAAUCGCUUGCCCAAAGCCAUAAUUUCUUCAAAUCAACAGGAAAGUCAGGGCCCAUGGUAACCGCAUACUCUGGUUCCGAGACCAAGUCAUUCAUCUUCUUCAUUUUCCUUGCGCCAUUUUUCUUGCCUCCCUGUAAAUAAAAAUUAAAAACAAAAUUAGAAGACAAAACUAAAAUAGACCAGCUAAGUGAUUUGAGAAUUAUAUAACUUAAUAUUAAUAACAAAUCUAAGUAUCCACAUAAUUAGUCCAAAUAACAUGUUAAUAAUCUAUCUUAUUAUAUUACAGAUUUUCUUAAUAAUGGAUAGCCAUGUAAAUCAAAAUAAAUAAAAUGAAAACUAAGUACCUUGGUACAUAUGACAGGCAUAUACAACAAUUAUCUUAUAUUAUUUCACCUAUAUUUUUAGUGUAAUACUUAACAAGAUAAAUGACAAAGAAAAGAUGGGGUGUGUACAAGUACCUUCACAGUUCUAGAUUUCACCAGAUCAUCACUUGUUGCCUUCACUUCCCGUAAGUGGUUUCUCGGCCACGCAAUAAAUGUCCCAACAGCUUGUUCAACAGUGGUGAUCUCAUCUUCAAUUGGAAACGGGAUCUGAGCAGCUCCUUGAAUUACAUGAGUAAUGGAGACUCGUGCAUUAUCUUUUCCAAUUGGCUUUCCAUGAAGAACAGUACAAUCCAUGUCAACUGUUGCAUGUGCAACAACAUUGUUGGGCGUUUCAAUAGACAAUUCCCAUAGAGAAGGACACUCAUUUUUCAAUGCAGUGUCCAUAGGGUCAUCCACAACUACUACCUCAGCUCCCUUCUGUUCACCAUUUCUCUUCCCUUGAAAACCAUCUGUUUCUUCAAUAUUUUUCUUCCCUUCAACAUCAUCUUUAAAACCAAACUCAUCUUUUUCCGAAUCUUUCCCUUCAGCAGAACCAAGAUCUUCAUUGAGAUCCAAUUUCUUUCUCGCUGCUAAAUCCAACUCCACAUUAUCAAGUACGCCUUUAGAACAACUUCCUUGUUGUGAUCCAAUAUUUGGACUCCCAUCAAAACACAAUUUCUUUCCAACUAAAGCUUCUUUGAGCUUGGCCAUUUCUGCAGCCCAAAAUGCAUCUCUAUCUCGAAUAAUCCUAUCAGUCUCUUCACUCAUAAACUUUUGAAUACCUUCCUGUAUCUUCUCUUCAAUUGUUCGGCUUUUUCUCUUUUGUCUGGGAAGAUUGAAGUAGACAGAUUGUUUGACAUAACUCCCUUGACCACGGACCCAUCCGCGGUGCUCAGGAUUCCCAAGAACUUUGGUCAACACAUCAUCUAUGCCUAACUCUAUCACAUCCCCUUCAUGAACUUUCUGCUUCAUCUUCACCUAUAUUAAACAAACACACUUUGAAAUCCAUGGAAUUNNNNNNNNNNNNNNNNNNNNNNNNNNNNNNNNNNNNNNNNNNNNNNNNNNNNNNNNNNNNNNNNNNNNNNNNNNNNNNNNNNNNNNNNNNNNNNNNNNNNNNNNNNNNNNNNNNNNNNNNNNNNNNNNNNNNNNNNNNNNNNNNNNNNNNNNNNNNNNNNNNNNNNNNNNNNNNNNNNNNNNNNNNNNNNNNNNNNNNNNNNNNNNNNNNNNNNNNNNNNNNNNNNNNNNNNNNNNNNNNNNNNNNNNNNNNNNNNNNNNNNNNNNNNNNNNNNNNNNNNNNNNNNNNNNNNNNNNNNNNNNNNNNNNNNNNNNNNNNNNNNNNNNNNNNNNNNNNNNNNNNNNNNNNNNNNNNNNNNNNNNNNNNNNNNNNNNNNNNNNNNNNNNNNNNNNNNNNNNNNNNNNNNNNNNNNNNNNNNNNNNNNNNNNNNNNNNNNNNNNNNNNNNNNNNNNNNNNNNNNNNNNNNNNNNNNNNNNNNNNNNNNNNNNNNNNNNNNNNNNNNNNNNNNNNNNNNNNNNNNNNNNNNNNNNNNNNNNNNNNNNNNNNNNNNNNNNNNNNNNNNNNNNNNNNNNNNNNNNNNNNNNNNNNNNNNNNNNNNNNNNNNNNNNNNNNNNNNNNNNNNNNNNNNNNNNNNNNNNNNNNNNNNNNNNNNNNNNNNNNNNNNNNNNNNNNNNNNNNNNNNNNNNNNNNNNNNNNNNNNNNNNNNNNNNNNNNNNNNNNNNNNNNNNNNNNNNNNNNNNNNNNNNNNNNNNNNNNNNNNNNNNNNNNNNNNNNNNNNNNNNNNNNNNNNNNNNNNNNNNNNNNNNNNNNNNNNNNNNNNNNNNNNNNNNNNNNNNNNNNNNNNNNNNNNNNNNNNNNNNNNNNNNNNNNNNNNNNNNNNNNNNNNNNNNNNNNNNNNNNNNNNNNNNNNNNNNNNNNNNNNNNNNNNNNNNNNNNNNNNNNNNNNNNNNNNNNNNNNNNNNNNNNNNNNNNNNNNNNNNNNNNNNNNNNNNNNNNNNNNNNNNNNNNNNNNNNNNNNNNNNNNNNNNNNNNNNNNNNNNNNNNNNNNNNNNNNNNNNNNNNNNNNNNNNNNNNNNNNNNNNNNNNNNNNNNNNNNNNNNNNNNNNNNNNNNNNNNNNNNNNNNNNNNNNNNNNNNNNNNNNNNNNNNNNNNNNNNNNNNNNNNNNNNNNNNNNNNNNNNNNNNNNNNNNNNNNNNNNNNNNNNNNNNNNNNNNNNNNNNNNNNNNNNNNNNNNNNNNNNNNNNNNNNNNNNNNNNNNNNNNNNNNNNNNNNNNNNNNNNNNNNNNNNNNNNNNNNNNNNNNNNNNNNNNNNNNNNNNNNNNNNNNNNNNNNNNNNNNNNNNNNNNNNNNNNNNNNNNNNNNNNNNNNNNNNNNNNNNNNNNNNNNNNNNNNNNNNNNNNNNNNNNNNNNNNNNNNNNNNNNNNNNNNNNNNNNNNNNNNNNNNNNNNNNNNNNNNNNNNNNNNNNNNNNNNNNNNNNNNNNNNNNNNNNNNNNNNNNNNNNNNNNNNNNNNNNNNNNNNNNNNNNNNNNNNNNNNNNNNNNNNNNNNNNNNNNNNNNNNNNNNNNNNNNNNNNNNNNNNNNNNNNNNNNNNNNNNNNNNNNNNNNNNNNNNNNNNNNNNNNNNNNNNNNNNNNNNNNNNNNNNNNNNNNNNNNNNNNNNNNNNNNNNNNNNNNNNNNNNNNNNNNNNNNNNNNNNNNNNNNNNNNNNNNNNNNNNNNNNNNNNNNNNNNNNNNNNNNNNNNNNNNNNNNNNNNNNNNNNNNNNNNNNNNNNNNNNNNNNNNNNNNNNNNNNNNNNNNNNNNNNNNNNNNNNNNNNNNNNNNNNNNNNNNNNNNNNNNNNNNNNNNNNNNNNNNNNNNNNNNNNNNNNNNNNUGAGCGCGAAACCGUUGUGUUAUUCACACAAUGGUUUAUAUAAAAUAAACCAUCAUAAGAAGACCAAUUCUACAAUGACACAGACAAAAACCAUUGUGUCAUAAAAUUAUCAACAAUGGUUUAUUAGACGCAAACACUUGUCUCAUUAUUAAGUGCUUUUGUUCCUAAAAUAGGCCACCCGUAAACAAAUCAAAGUACGCAACAUAUAUUGCUAUAAACGAGUACAUUAUAGCAAAAGACUAGUAUUAUCAUACAUUCUAUUCGCUUAUUAACAAAUUAGCAUGAUAUUUUAAGUAUCUUGUAACAUUCGAUACACAUUACUCUUGUUAAUUUACAGCAUUAUAGUUUGUUACACGAUAUAUGACUAUGAUGUAUUGAAUUCUGAUACUGAUAUUGUUGUUGUUUGUAAUUCUUUUUCUAAUCGUCAUUCCUAUAUAAACACCGAAGGUCGGACUUGAUUAAUUUACGAUAAUAUGUAUAACAGAACCACUAGAAUCGGGUAUAUCCUAUUAAGUAUCAAUGAUGUAGUCAUAAUUACCACUGUAAAACACACAUCUCGACAAGAUUUCAUACCGAAACUAUAAAGUAAGAGAAAUAUAUCAUAUAUAAAUAUGUAAUUGUUACUGUAGUGGGUCAUUUGCGUUUUUGACGGGACAUAUAUUGUUAAUCGGUACGGUAAAGAAUGAAAUUAUUCGUGAAAAAUCCAUUAACAUUCAAACAACGGUUUAAUCAGGAAAGUAUUGUUGUAACGUAUUUCAGAUAACGGUUGCAGACCGCCAAACCGUUGUGUUAUUCACACAAUGGUUUGUAUAACUGAAACCAUCGUAAGAAGACAAAUUCUACAACGAGAGAGCAAAAAACCAUUGUGUCAUUCAUUUAUUAACAACGGUUUUUUAUGCCCAAACACUUGUCUAAUAAUUAAGUGCUUUUGUUCCUAAAUAGGCCACCCGUAAACAAAUCAAAUUACGCAACAUUGUAAAUAAACGAGUACAUUAUAGCAAAAGAUUACUAUUAUCAUACAUUUUAUUCGCUUAUUAACAAAUUAGCAUGAUAUUUUAAGUAUCUUGUAACAUUCGAUACACAUUACUCUUGUUAAUUUACAGCAUUACAGUUUGUUACACGACAUAUGACUAUGAUGUAUUGAAUUCCGAUACCGAUAUUGUUGUUGUUUGUAAUUCUUUUUCUAAUCGUCAUUCCUAUAUAAACACCGAAGGUCAGACUUGAUAAAUAUUUGAUAAUAUGUAUAACAGAACCACUAGAAUCGGGUAUAUCCUAUUAAGUAUCAAUGAUAUAGUCAUAAUUACUACUGGAAAACACACACCUCGACAAGAUUUCAUACCGAAACUAUAAAGUAAGAGAAAUAUAUCAUAUAUAAAUAUUUAAUUGUUACUGUACUGGGUCAUUUGCGUUUUUGACGGGACAUAUAUUGUUAAUCCAUACGGUAAAGAAUGAAAUUAUUCGUAAAAAAUCCAUUAACAUUCAAACAACGGUUUAAGCAGGAAAGUAUUGUUGUAACGGCUUUCAGAUAACGGUUUCUUACCGCGAAACCGUUGUGUUAUUCACACAAUGGUUUAUAAAACUGAAACCAUCGUAAGAAUACAAAUUCCACAACGACUCUGUUAAAAACCAUUGUUUUAUAAGCCGAUGAACCACAGUUUUCUGUUAGUAAAAGCUUGUCUAAUUAGGAACUUUUUUGCCACCUACUUUACACAAUUCGAACUUGCUUUUAUGAAAUCAUUUAAUACAAUAUCUUUGUCAUUACCAAAUCUUUGUCUGAAUUGAAACCGAUUACCAAAUCUGGGCGACAAAUAUCCUCUCUACCCGACAAAAAUCUUCACAUCUCAUCUUCACAUAUCAAUCUCCACAUCUCAUCUUCACAUCUCAAUCUCCACAUCUCAAUCUCCAUCUUCAUCUCCGACGAAGAACACAAUCUUCUCAAGAUCUCAUUCUGUGAAAGGUCUCAUUCUCUAACCAAGAACACAAUCAAGCCUCAAUCUCAUUCUGUGAAAGGUCUGACUUCAAGGUAUUACGCGCACUCAAUCUCAUUCCUAGCAUUUUUAUGUAAUUUGUGAUGAGUUCGAUUUAAUUUUUUUGAAAUUAGGGUUCAUACGUAAUAUUUGGGGAUUUUGGAGAAUGUAUGGGAUUUUGAGAAAUUAAAACUAGGGUUCGUGCUCACUUUUGGAAUCUGUAGCUAAUACAUUAUUUACAAGCAACUAUGUAGCUAAUUUAUCAAGCAAAUUUGCUAUUCCCUCUGUUAACAUCUCUAAUUUGCUAUUUCCUUUGUUAAAAUCUCUAAUCUGUAGCUUUUGCUUUUUACUUAAAAAUGAUCAUAAUAUAGUUGUAGUAAACUGAUUAUAUUUUUAAUGUUCAAUAGAUGGACAAGUCUUGGUUGAAGGCUGAUAGAAGAACAAAGGAAUUUCAAAGAGGAGUAGAUGAACUAUUGUUGUUUGCAUUUGAGAACGGAUUUGAUGAAAACAAAAUCAGCUGCCCGUGUUUAAAAUGCGCACAUAGUAAAUCUUGGAAAGCUAAAACAGUGAAGUGCCAUCUUUUUGAAAAUGGAAUUGAUCAGACCUACACUCGUUGGAUUUGGCAUGGUGAAUUAAAUACGGAAAGUGUAUCUCCCGCUGAAGAGACGGCCAGUUCUGAUUCUGUGGACCAAAUCCCUAUCAAUGCAGAGAAUAAUGAUAGUGAUGAUGAUGUUUCUCUUGAUUCCUCAGAUUUCUUUAACCAUGUUAAAUCUGAACAUGAACCACUUUAUCCGGGAUGUGAAGGAUUUACAAAGAUGAAGGCUUUAGUGAAGUUGUAUAACUUGAAAGCAAAAUACCAAGUAUCGGAUGCUUGCUUCUCUGAACUUCUUCUACUGGUUGGAUCUAUGCUUCCGAAAGGCAACCAUUUUCCUUCUUCAUUCAGCGAGGCUAAGAAAAGCUUGUGUGCUCUUGGAAUGGAGUAUGAAAAAAUUCACGUGUGUCCAAAUGAUUGUUUAUUAUACCGAGGAGAAAGAGAUGAAGAUGAGACAAGUUGUCGUAUCUGUCAAGCAUCUAGAUGGAAGUUGAACAAAAAAGGAGAAGAAUUGGAAGGGGUUCCGGCAAAGGUUCUAUGGUAUUUUCCGUUAAUACCACGUUUGAGGACUUUAUUCAAUUCUCCUCAAAUAGCUAAAAAUAUGAUUUGGCAUGACACGGGGAGAAUAAAAGAUGGUAAAUUAAGACAUCCGGCAGAUUCAAAAACAUGGAAGGAUGUCGAUGAAAAGUGGCCCGAGUUUUCUUCAGAUUCUAGAAAUGUCCGGUUAGCUUUAUCCUCGGAUGGAUUCAAUCCUUUUUAUAGCACAAAUGUUGAUUACUCUUGUUGGCCAGUAUUGAUGUCAAUAUAUAAUCUCCCACCAUGGCUUUGUAUGAAAAGGAGGUACAUCAUGCUAUGUUUAUUGAUAUCCGGACCAAAAGAACCCGGCAAUGAUAUCGAUGUGUUCUCUCAACCGCUUAUUGAAGAUUUACAAAAGUUAUGGACCGGAAAACAAGUUUAUGACGCAUACAAGAAGGAGUACUUUUUGCUGCGACGCAUUUUAUUAUGGACAUUUAGUGACAAUCCAGCCUAUGGUAACCUUUCAGGGAACAUUGUAAAAGGGUAUAAUGCGUGUCCUGUUUGCGUUGAUGGAACAAAAGCAACAAGGCUGGCUAAUUACCGUAAUUGCGUGGUCAUGAGGCAUCGGAGGUGGUUGCCCCGUGCACAUCCAUAUCGCAGGAAGAAAGAAGAUUUUGAUAACAUUGUGGAAAAGGGAACUGCCCCUAUUCCAUUAACCGGGGAGGAGGUGCUUCAGAGAACAAAACACUUAAAGGGUCAUGUCUUUGGUAAGACACAACGCCAACCUCGAUUCAAGAAAGGUGAUGUUCGACCUAUUUUUAAGAAGGUUUCUAUAUUUUUUGAACUUGAGUAUUGGAAGUUUCUGCCGGUUAGACACGUUCUCGAUGUGAUGCACAUCGAGAAAAACAUUUGCGAAGCUUUACUUGGUACUAUGCUUAAUAUACCCAAGAAGACAAAAGAUAAGGAAUCUGUCCGGCUAGACAUGGCUGAAAUGGGAAUAAGAACGGAGCUAAGGCCAAAGAAUCCCGGGAGAAAGGAGAAGUUACCAUUGGCAUCUUGGAAUUUAACUCAUUCGGAAAAAAAAGUAGUUUGCUCAUCAUUUCUUGGCAUGAAGUUGCCUGAUGGCUUUUGUUCAAAUAUUAGAAGUUUAGUUUCAAUGGAAACUCUUCGACUUACUGGAAUGAAAUCUCACGACUGCCAUAUGAUCUUGCAUCACUUGCUCCCAAUUGCGAUACGAUCGUCACUGCAAAAACAGGUCAGAAACACUGUCAUCAGGUUUUGUCUCUUUUUUAAGGCAAUUUGCAGUAAAGUUAUUGAGGUUGAUAAGUUGGAGAAAAUGCAAUCCCAGCUGGUGGAAACUUUGUGCCACCUUGAAAAGUACUUCCCCCCUUCCUUGUUUGAUGUGAUGUUUCAUCUCUCGGUCCAUCUUGUACGAGAAGUAGAGCUUUGUGGACCAAUUUUUUUGAGGUGGAUGUAUCCAUUUGAGAGAUAUAUGAAGACAUUUAAAGGGUAUAUAAGAAAUCGGGCUCGCGCAGAAGGUUGCAUAGCUGAGGCCUAUAUUGCAGAAGAAGCUGUUGAGUGUUUGGUGAACCAUGAGGAGGCUACUGUUGGGAUACCAAAAAAUGGCAGGCAUAGGAAUGAUGCUGUUUGUAGGCCAUUAUCUGGUGCAUCAGUUAUAACUCCGAGCGACAAUGAUUUGCAUUUAGCCCAUUUAUGUGUUUACAAAAUACGGCUUCGGUUAGGCCAUAUUUUAAGUAAGUCAUUUCUUAAUUUUCUGCUUAAUUGUCAAAUUAUAUAUCAUUAUUCUAUUAUUUACAUAGUCUUUUCUAAUUGUAUGCAGUGAACACAUGUGUUUUUUGAUGACCAAAUAUCCGGAAAAUGAAAAUAAUGAAAUGUGGCUAAAGAAUAAGCAAAAUGAGACAUUCCCAGAAUGGUUCAAAGAAAAGGUAUUAUGUGCACUUUAUUUAUAGCAUUUCUGUGCAUUUUUAAAACUGUCACAUAAGUCAUUUAUAACUUUUAUGAUGUUCUGGGCAGAUUGCUUCAAAUUUUCUCGACGAAAUGGAGAUAUCACAAGAAAUCAGAUGGAUCGCAGAUGGGCCCAAUAAGGAUGUCCCUACAUUCAAUGGUUACAAAAUGGAUGGGAUUACCUUUAGCACCAAAGAUCGUGAUGAUACACGUAAUGUUCAGUGCAGUGGCGUGUGUGUUCAAGCCGAUACCAUGGUUGUGCAGGGGAAGGAUCAAAUUGUUGAGCAUGCCUCGCCUACAUUUUAUGGAGUGAUAAUAGGUAUAUGGGAGUUAGACUAUAACAACUUUAGGAUCCCUAUUUUUCGUUGUAAUUGGAUUGAUAUGAAUAGAGGGACUAAGGUAGAUGACUUGGGUUAUACUUUGGUUAAUUUGAAUAGGUUGGGGUUUUUUAAUGAUCCAUUUGUGUUAGCAAAACACGUUAAACAAGUAUGUUACAUAGAUGAUCCUCUUGAUAAAUUAUGGUCCGUGGUGUUGAAAUUACCCGAGAAAAACUAUCAUGAGGACAAUGAUGAAGAAAAUGAGGGAUCCGUGGAAGUAGAACUUGAGAAUGAGUUCUUUAUACCAAAUUUGCCGGAUGUUGAUUUAGACGAGGCAACAACUAGUUAUAUGCGAGACGUAGAUGAACUAAUUCAACUUUUAUGAUGUAAUUUUAUUUGAUUCUUAGUUUGGUGAUGAACUAAACUAACUUUCAUGAUGUAAGUUGGUUUCUUUGUUUUUAUCUCUGUUGGUUGGCUCUGUUCUGAGUCAGAUCUGUUAGAUUUGUUGGUGUGCCUCUGUUUUGAGGCUGGUUUUGCUCUGUUUUCUGCUAUUUUUUUUUUCCCAUGGUGGCCAAUCAGACAAGCGUUUUUGGAGAAAAAGGCUUGUCUGAUAGACAUUCACAUAACACUAAACAAAACAAGUCUUNGGUUUCUUUGUUUUUAUCUCUGUUGGUUGGCUCUGUUCUGAGUCAGAUCUGUUAGAUUUGUUGGUGUGCCUCUGUUUUGAGGCUGGUUUGCUCUGUUUUCUGCUAUUUUUUUUCCCAUGGUGGCCAAUCAGACAAGCGUUUUUGGAGAAAAAGGCUUGUCUGAUAGACAUUCACAUAACACUAAACAAAACAAGUCUUGUCUUUAUAGUCUAUUAACAACACUUUUACAAUACAAACUGUUGUAUGUUGCUUAAAAGUCAAUCAGGCAGACAACAUUUUAUAUAUUAAAGGCUUGUCUAUAAGGCCUUGUUACAAUGGUAACAAAAACACUUGUAUGUUAGCUUUCCAGUCACACAACACUAUAUAAAACCCUUGUUUGAACUGCUCGCAAACAACACAACAAAUAAAACACUUUUCUAUUUACUACAACGGUUUCCUGAAACAUUGUGUGAAGUUUCUUCACACAUCGGCUUGAAAAACAGUUGUCUGACAUGCAUAAUUACACAAUACCACAGUAAACAAAGUGUUGUCUGAUUGAAUUUACUAGACAACAUUUUUUUAACCAUUGUAGGUCGUGGUGUUAGACAAUAGUUUUUCCAGAGCGAAAAUAAAGUGUCGUGUCUUUGUUUUGGCCAACGCUUUUUUCAGCGUCCGUUGUCUGAUCAGUGUUGUCUGAUUCCAGUUUUGUUGUAGUGUUUUAUGGCGUUCACAUCUUUUGUAAUAAAGUGUUAUGUUGUCACUUCGGUUUCUGAAUUCGUGAUGUUGUUACUUGAUCACCAUUGAAUUAGAAAAGAUGCAAGAAUUAUAAAUUUGUCAUUAGAAGAUCACAUGGGUAACUUAAACUACAGAAUCAAAAUUAAAAUCAUUUUACUUUCUGAGAACAAAUUUGGUGGCAAAAGCCUGGCAUUGUUGUUGACGGAGUCUGCAAGGUGGUCAGUAAAGUUCUCUAGUGGACUCUUUCCAGUCACUAUAGCUUGUACAAACAAUCCGAACAUGGAGAACAUGGCUAAUCUACCAUUUUUGAGCUCCUUCACUUUGAGCUCUACAAAUGCCUCUGAAUCUUUAGUUAGGCUUAAUGGGUUAAAGCUUCCUCCUGGGAAGCUCUGUUGAUGUUUGUAGGUAGCAAAGGUGCUGAAAGAAUGUUAAUGAUUGAUUGUUAUACCAGUAUAUCUUGUAAAAUCAUUAUAUGUUCUUUCAUUGGUUGUCAAGAGAUUAUAUAUACAAACAAUUACUUGUCAUAUUAUUUCUCAUAAAAUGUGAUACCUAAUGCAUCCAUAGUGAAUUUGUGGUACAGAAAUCGCAUUAAAAAAAAUGUGUUAUAACACUUCCAUAUAUACUAGGUGUAUAGAGAAACAAGGUUCACAGCGGAGAAAUAGGUAAUCUUCAGGCUUCCAUUAAAUACUAAGGUUGUGCAAGUGAAUAACAUGUCAAGUAUGUUAUACUCUUUUGUUAAUCAGCGAUUUAAAUUCCUACUUCUGUAACUUAUACUAGAAAAAACUAAAAACAUAUUAUCUACUAAGACCAAAACAAAACUAAUGGGUCUGGUUACUACACCUUAUUAUGAAAUCAAGACUAUUAAGAAUCCAGCAGACGUGUUAGUCUCUGAGGAAAUGUAUAAUACAUCAUAUAUCAAUGAUCACUCGACUUUCUCCGAUUCACUUGUGACAUACAUACUCAAUCUUCAUUUCUUUUUACAUGGAGAUCGAUCAUAUACUAUCUUGAUCAAUAAAACAAUGAUAAUAAAACAGAAGAGGGAACCGAUUACACCAAAACUAUGGCAAGGGCUUAUGAGUGGUAUAACACAACAUAUGUUCCUGCAAUAAAUUUCAACAUCAUGGCCAUAACAUCUUAUAUCAUCUGUAAAAUCAGUUGUCUCGAGGAGUCCAAGUUUUCUUGCUUUUUGUCAUUGUAUCAAGUCCUUUAUGUUUUAUGAAUAUUGGUAUGGGACAACCAUCAAGAUCUUGUUGUUUCAAGAUCUUGUUCUUGUACAUUCUUAUACAAUACCCAAAAGGAAAAAAAAUACACUAAUCAUUUUUAAAAGUUGAAUGUUCAUUUAUACUAGUUAUCUUUUUCUUACGGUAGUUCGUUGAAAUUUGAAAUUUGGAUUGAUUUUCCCCAUUAAACAAUUAAAUAUAAUUAGAGAAUAAGAGGUUUUCAUUUAAAAAAAAAAAAUCACUUUACAAACUUGUAAUUCACCGAAUUACUCAACUGCGAUACUGCCACUAAUUAAGGAAUUAUAAUUAAGAAUAGUAUUGAGGUGGCAUUAGAAAUUCUAUGAUACAUUAUUUUUACAAUCUCUGCUUCUCAAACAUUCUGCAGACUUGAACUGUAUCUUUACAAUAUUAAAGGUCCCGGAUAUAAAUUUGGUAGAAAUUGGUCUUCCAAGAGUAAAGUCGAAGUUUUGCAUUAUCAUCCGGAUAAAAGGCAUAGUAUAGAGUUCAAUAAGAACAAAAUAAAGUUUCACUUACAGUCAUCUAUUAAAAUCGAAAGGAUAUCUUCGAUAUAUAUUUAAUUAUAUAUUUGUGUUGGUAUUUAUGAAGAACAUUAAAUUUAAAUUCAUUUAGUAAUCCUCCCAAAUAGGACAUUGAUUUAUUUGAUUAAUUAAAAGACGAAGACCCUGUGGAUUUGGAAGUGCUACAUCAACUGGCUCUGGCAAAGGAACGAAAGAAGCGUGGUGAAUCCACUACAUCUGAAGUGCCAACCAGGAUACUAAAAUUUAUCUGUUUUAAGAAAAUAUUCAUUAUGCAAUAUUCAUGCUGUGGAGUUUCGUACUUCUACGAUUGCCUCUCUUUUCCUAUUGCAACAUUAAAUGUCAACUCCUGUUCUUCACAGUUCAGAUAUCGAAGAAGGAGAAGUUGAUCUUUUGAUUUGUUAAGGAAUUUGUAAUAUAUGUUCAGUAAGAACAUCCUUAUGUAAUCUAAUGUACUUGUUUGAAUUCUGGUGAAUGUCUAAUGAAAUACCAGAAACUUUUUGCUAUUUACAAUUCAUGUUUAAUCCUUUGUCUUAUCAGUAAUUUAUUCCAUUUUUUUUCUUCGGAAUAAAUUUUGUUAGAUCUCUCAAAAAUAAUAAAUGAAAGGCAUAUGUUAAGCCUAUUUGUAUUUAAGAGUAUCAACUCAACUCUGAUAAGAAAGAAAGUAAAUUAGCAAGCACUAUUGAAGGAAUCCGUACGAAGAACGUCAAGUGAUUUAUUAAAAUCAUAUGUCUGAAGAAUUUCAGGAUGCUGCUGCACACCACUGGAAGAAGUUCAUUAAUAUGUUCAAGCCUCAGUGUACAAAUAAUAUUUUGUAGCACGUCCAGAAGUCCAGAAGGUAUAAAGUUUUAAUACUUUAUUUAUUCAGAAGAUUCCAAACUAUUUCUACUUAUGAAGAAGAACUACGAAGACAAAGACUCGACGAACAAGCCACUUCUCAAAUGUUUAAUUGAUAAAGAAUAUUUGAUUCAGCUAGAUACAGAUGAACCAGACAGUACAUUUGUGUGUCAGCUACUCAGAUUAAAUAUUCAGCAUCAACAAUAGGUGGUCGUUCAUUCAAGACAAGAAUCAGAUCUUUUAAAGGAUGUCAGAAGACCUGCUGCUGAAGGCUGUGCUCAAUAUAAUUAUUCUUUUAAUUUAUUCACAUCUCAAAUUAAUUAUAUAAGUUAUGUAAUUUAUUUAUUAAAUUGAUUCACACUUGAAUUAAUUUAAUUUAUGAAUUUAUAUGAUUAAUAUAAUUAAGUGAAUAAUUAUUGAAUUAAUUAUAUUAAAGAAAAUCUAUUUAAAACUGAUUUUGGGCACGGUAUGACAAUCAUAUAGAUUGUCAUACCGCACCUGGUUUGUCAUACCGUGUCUGUGGCAUGACAUAAGUUCAAUUGUCAUACCGAAUUGUGUAGCAUGACAAUGUUACACUUUGUCAUACCGAAUUUGAAUUGGCAUGACAUUACUAUGGAUUGUCAUACCGAAUUCAAUCAGUAUGACAUUGCUAUGAAUUGUCAUACCGAAUUCAUGCUGUAUGACAUUACUAAACAUUGUCAUACCACUCCAUGACUUAACCUCCAAGUCAUAUGUCAUGCUAUGGAUUGUCAUACCGAAAAUUGCAGCAUGACAAUGUCCUGAUAUGUCAUACCGAUUUCUAUUUCAGCAUGACAUGAGCUCACAUUGUCAUACUGAUUUCAUUUGUAGCAUGACAUUAGCUCACAUUGUCAUACUGAUCUUUGUAGCAUGGUCAUACCAACUUUGUCAUACAAGUUCAAGGUGUUGCCUAUAAAUAUGGCUUCAACCUCUUCAUUUGUUCUUGUUCAUUGCCUUGUAAACUUUCAAGUUGUUUGUAACUUGCUAUUCGUUAAAUCCACAGUUUCCUGUGCUUUGAUCAUUCGGUUGUUUUAAUCACUAAACUAGAAUACAUCCUGUCGAAUUUAUUCUACGAACUUUAGUGGACAUUAAAACGAACCUUAUUAAUUAUAUAACGACUUAAAACAUUGUUAUAUUAAUUAAUUAAAAUCUGAUUAACAAGUUUAUUUCAAAUCAGAUUAUUCCGCCGCGAUUUUUUAGUGACGAUUGUAUUCAACCCCCCCUUCUACAAUCGUUUCAGGACCUAACAAUAAAUCCUUCCCACUUAUAUAUUGGUAUUUUUCUAUGGAAGGAUUGAUCAUAUCCUUAUUAAUAUUUGCUUUGAAAAUAUUAAUAUCAUCUUUGAUUACAAUUCUGGAAUAUUUUUCUCGGUCUCUCAAAUUCAGUAUUUUUCGGAGAAAAAUAUUUUCAAUACUUAGAAAGCACUUCAAAAUUGUCAAAUUCAUGAUUUAUCAUGAAUAUCAUUUUUCUAAGUAUUUUGGAGCCAAAAGGAUCGUCAAAGAGUCUGCUUGUUCUGACUAAAGAAUAAUUAUUUCGGUUUUACGAAUAUAGUUCAUUGAGAAGAAUAUUUGGGUUUAAUACUCUAAAAUAGUUCCUUAAUCUCUAAAGAAUUUUAUCUUUGAGGGAAUAUAUUUUAAGUAUUUGUUCAAGUCUUUACUUGGGGCAAAAUCUCGUCUUCGGUUUGUCAAAAUAAUUUUCGUAUUGUCCUUGGAGCCCAAAAAUCGAUAAAUCGUUUUAAUUCCAAAUAAAAUAUUUCCACUUGCCGAACUGACUUGAAACUUGAGAUUAGCCAAUUAAAUAUUAUUUCUAGUGCAUGGUGAAAGUUUUGUAAAUUUUCAAGAACUUUCAUUUCGGUGAGAUUUUCCGACCUGUUGAUCCGACCUUAGACUGAGCAUUUGACCUAGCUAGAGUUGACCAAAAAUUACCAAAUUUGGCAGGAUUCCAUUUUUCAAUAUUCUAAGAUUUUUCAUAUUUUUUUUGGGAUUUUUCGAAGUCGUUCGAAAAAUCGCAUUAUUUGGUGUAACGGAUUUUUAGCCGUUUUCUCGGUUUGCGUGCCACAUUCUAGAGCUUCUAGUACUGAGAUUUUGUGACAAGAUGCUGGUCGAAUAUGCAAUAAAUGCUAUUUGAGCACAUGGGGGACAAUGGAUGACAAGUGUAUAACCCACGCACUUUAAUUCAAAUUAAUACACCAUUUUACAUUAAUUUUAAUUCACUAAACCCUCUCAUCUGGUCCUAUAAAUAUCCCCCCAUCACCCAACUCUUUUCUUCAAGCUAAGAGCCAAAGAAUUGCUGGGAUUUUUGAAGUAAACACUCUCUCAAUAUAUACAAACACUCUCUUCAUCUACUUCUCCAUUAAGACCUUCUCAUUCUUAUAUAUAUAUAUUCAAAUAUACACAAGGUUUUAAUCACCAAAGCUUUGUUUCACCCAACCAAGCUUUUUCCCACCUAGCCAAGCUCUCCACCACUUGUUUUCGGCCUCCCGAAGGGCUGCCCAAAUUCGUCCGUGUACUCAAAUCGUAUUGAACCUCCGGCGAAUUUCUCCGACGAACUUUUUCGUUAGUUUUCAUAAGUGGUUACUUUCUUAGCUUCAUAUUCGAGUCUUAACCGACCGAUUUGUUUUCCUAUAUAAGAGCUCAUACUUAAAUAUAUAUUUUCAUCUCUAAAGCUCUUUAUAUACGGAUCUAUCUUUUCGAACAAUAUAUUCGAAAGAUUAGUUACCCGAUCUAAAUAUUCGGGUUAUACGAACAAAGUUUCGUACUCCAAAAUAUACGGAGGGGUGUUGUUUCUAUACACACCGAAAAUAGCUUGAUCUUACUCCUCAUAAUCUUAACUUUAUUAUCUCAGAGGAAAAGAUAUUAUUAACAAGCUCUCUUUAAUAUUAUAGCACUCGAGUUGGCCGCUCGUUACUAUCGGGAAUAUUUGUGCACUAACCUUACUUGCUCUCUAACAAAUAUUUGUGCUCCCUUUCCCGUCACUCCCAUACCCUUCUUGUGUUGGUGAAGUACCCAUUUCUCAGCCUAGUGCUUGGUGGGGUUAUUAACCGGACGAGAUACGUGGUUUACGUGUAUAUUUACCGAACGUGUGUGUUGGGGUGUGAUUUACUUUCCGCAUGAUAUUGUUUGCUAUAUUGCUUGUUGUACUAAUGCGGAUACUUUGGCCUAAUAUUGUUAAACUUGUGCUAUUAUUAAAGACUCUCAAGAACUCUCUCUCGAUCUAAAUAUUAUUUAUUAGUCUCGCAAAGACUACAUUAAACGAGGAGUUAUCUUGUAACGAAGUUGUAUACUAAAACACUUCGUAUCUUUUUAUACUUUGUCUUAAGACAAAUAUAUUCGUCCAUAUAGCCAAAAGAUCUUAAAAGGACUUUAGUAUUAUCUACAAACUCCAAGACACGUGAAUAUUAUUUAUUCGGAGGAUUUUGUACGAUAAAAGUAUUCAUCGAUUUUAAAGAUAAAUCUAUCAAGAAAGAAUACUUUCGAGAUCUUAAGCUUUCGGAAAGUUUAAAGAACUCUUGAUCUUUAAUCUUCUUCAACCAAGAAUAUUAUUGUUAAACUCGGCUUAGUUAAUCUAGCCAAAAAAAAAAAAAAAACUCUUUUUAUAAAACAAGGAUAUUUCGUAGAUAUUGUUUUCUGAGAUUUGCAGUGAGGCGAAAGUGAAGUGAGGUCAUCUUCGUUCUAAGACCCAAGUCCUAGACGUGCUAGCGGGGAGUUAGUCGUCUUCGCACCGUGAGGAAGAGGAAAGACCCAAGACCUAAGACCUAAGAUCCAAGACCGGCAAAAGCUUAGAAGUUCAAAGACUACACUUGGAGUACAACGACUUUGAGGAGGUAACGGGGAGUUACGCUCUAAGAAGAGUCUUGUAAGUUUACAUUUAUAGUGAGGAGGUAACGGGUAGUUACGCUCCAAAAGAUAUAUUUGUAAAGGCUUCUCCGCCUACUUUAAAGGAGUUUCUUUAUAGUAGAGAAAAUCUCGAGUCCGGGGAGGAGCUCGGGGACUGGACUAGGGGUGAGUGGACUCCGAGGUUUGAGUUAGCCACCGCGAACCAGGAUAAAAUCUCUCAUGUGGUAUUUUCUUUUCUUUUCUCAUACUUCCGCAUAUUAUAUAACUGCUUACACUCUCGAUACACAUAUUUAAAAAGGAGAUAAACUUUUUAAAUUGGGAUAUAAAUUUUUAAUUGGUGAUUAAGCUAUUCAACCCCCCCUUCUAGCUUAAUUAACCUUUGUAUCGGACCUAACAAAAAUGAAUGGAGACGCAGGACAUGGUGCUUUUGGUUCUAACUUCGAAUGUAACUCAAGGCUGACAGGGAGUUAAAGUCCUCUUUUCGUUUCCUGCCUGAAGUAAUCUAUGAUUUAGAAACAAUUAAAAUGUUUCUGGAGUUCUGGUGAAGGCUAAACAAAGCUUAAGGUACUGUUACAACACAUACUAUUUAGAGCCUUAAAAAUGUAUAAGGUACAAGUGUAUAGUACACCAUUAACAAUCUCUUUAUCUUGGAGUUGUAUACAACACAAUAUGAUAAUUAAAAAUUCAUUAAAAAAUAUGGAAAUAAUGACAUGCAUACUCAAUCUUUGAUCUCUUUUACCCACCUAUCAUAUGCCAUCUUGAUGAUCCACAUAAGAAUAAGAAAAAAGAAGAGAGAACCAAUAAUGCAAACGGCUAAGGCGAGAACUGGUGUGUCGGAUAAGACCACAUACGUCCCUGCAAUAAAUGUCAACAUCAUCCCAAUAAUAGAAAGAAUGUUGAGGACGGUUGAUGAAGCAUUUAGCAGUGACACUUGGUGGGGAUCUUCAUUCAUUGAUUCGAGGAAGUAGAAAAACAGUGAAGAUGUUGACAUUAGUAGAGCUAAUGCAUCCGAUAACAUGAAUGCAUUAAAAGCUCUCUUUCUGGACAAAACCACCAGUCCUUCAGUAACCUCUCCACUUUUAUGGAGACCACCAGGCAUGGUAAAUCCUACUGUAAAAGUAACCGUCGUUAUAAGCGCGGUAACUAAAAUCUGGGUGUUCGUCCUAUUUUUAUAUAUUUCUAGAUCAUUUUUCCUCUGGUCAUGCUUUUCCUGCUUCAAUUUCUUUUCCUCUGCUUCAAAUUUCAAAUCUUUUUCCUUUCGUUUACUUGGGGGGGGGGGUUCUGUUACAUCCCCAAAUAUUCGUUUCAUUCUCUACUCUCUUACCCCAAAACUUCCAAAAUGAUUGAUCACUCUGGACAUGGUCAAGGGCAAUUUUAAUAUGCACCUACAAAUAAAGGACAACCAAUAAUUGCUAAUUAUCUUAAUUCGGAGAGAUGAUCCAUUUUAAUGACUAUAAUAAGACUUAACAGAUAUCAAAUAAAUCAAUGCAGUAAAAUUUCUACUGCCUCGUGCCUCUGAUGCUAAUAGCCAAAGAGUUAUACAAAUAGAAAGGUAAACAGAGGUGACCGUUUAGUACGUAGUAAAAUUACUAAUAGAAAGCAAAACUAUAGACUAAAUUUUUUGGUACUUUGUUCUUUUCUUGUUAAGAAAGGAAAAAACUAGCUUUCACAAAUUAUUAAAAAAGAAAUGUGGGGUUUUUAAGUUACCUGAUCUUCAACAAUAGCAUCUUCAACGUACAGCAUGUCCCGAGGAGUGAAAUCCUUGUUUGUUGCCAUUGUAUCAAGUCCUUUACGUUUUAUUAGUUCGGGAGUAAAACAACCAUUUGAGAAGAGCAAAUGCAGAGGAGUAUCCCCCAUGAUAUCUUGCUGCUCCAAAAUUGUUUCCUUGUACUUAUCUGGACAAUAUUCCAAAAUACCUUCCACCAUUUCUUUUCUAUUUUUAGCAGCAGCAGCCAAAUUUAGUAUAUUUUGGCCCUUUUCAUCAACAACUAUGUAUGGGGAGUUUGCGUGUACGGAUGCAGAAUACGAAGCUGGCCACAAUUCCAUCAGUCGUAUCAAUGUAGAAGUACAUCCAUAUUUUACUGCUACAUGGAAUGGCGUUGUGGAAUUUCCGUACACAAAUUGGUGUGUUAGGUCCAAAGUAUCGUAGAAGGGGGGGGUUAAAUACAAUACUCACUAUAAUUUAAAAUUCUUUCGAAUCUUGCGGAUAAAUAAAUUGCAGUCCUGUAAUGGGUUUCGUCUUCCGGAUAUUUAUCGGGUCGGUUUCUGAGGAUAUGAAAAUAUUAAACCAACAAACAAUAUUUUCAAGGUAUAUCUGUAUAUUGAUAAAUACCUCGAAGGUGCUACAAAUCCAAACCCGAAGGUUGGCUACAAUGAACACUCCUCUAAAUAUUACAAGCCCUAUCCACUACAAAUAUUUAUGGUACAAAACUAGGCUAGGGUGUGUGUAUAUUUGAGAGAGUUUGUGCAUAGCACUUGGCCAUCCAUCCCGAAGGAUGAUGUUAAUUGUGAAAACCACAAUCACAUAUUUAUAGGCUUUCAUAAACUAACCAUGGUUAACGAGUUCGUCCUGGACGACUUGAGUUCGUCCUGGACGGAUUCAGAUAUUCAAAAUAAAACUAACUCCAAAACAAAGUUGCGCCAUAGCUGUUGAUUAGAGGAGCAACAUUUGACCAGGUCAAAUGUUGUUCCAAUAUAGUGCUUCCCUUGUAGUGUUUGUGACUUAGAAAUUAUUCUAAGUUACAAGGAGUUUAUGCCAAGAGUUGUUGGUAGAGGAGCAACAUUUGACUGGUCAAAUGUUGUUCCAAUAUAGUGCUUCCCUUGUAGAGUUUGUGACUUAGAAAUUAUUCUUAGUUACAAGGAGUUUGUGCCAAGAGUUGUUGGUAGAGGAGCAACAUUUGACCGGUCAAAUGUUGCGCCAAGUUCAAACCUUGCGCCCGGGUCAAACCUUGCGCCUUGGUCAAAUGUUGCGCCCGGGUCAAACCUUGCGCCUUGGUCAAAUGUUGCGCCAUAGAGUAUACAAGAGGUACUUGGUGACUUAGAGAAAUUCUAAGGCAAAUAUGAACUUGCUCCACCAUUGUAAUGCUUCCCUUGUUAUCACUCCUUUGACUGAGAUUGACUUGAGUUUGCUCCUCUCCCUACUUAGCCAAAUUAGCUCAAAUCUUGAGUUGGCACAAAUCAUAUAUUAUAUAUAUUAUAUUAUAUUCAUAAUAUUAUAUAAAUAUAUGUAUAAAUAAAGAUAUACAUAUAAAUAUAUAUAAAUAAUAUUUAUAUAAACAUAUAGUAAUAUAUAUAUAUAUAUAUAUAUUUAAAUAUAUUCUCAUAUAUUUAAAUAUAUAUAAUAUACAUAAAAUUAUAUGUAAAUAUAAAUAUAAAUAUAUAUAGGGAUAUAUAUAUAAUUAUCUAUAGAUAUAAAUAUACACAUAUUUAUGCACAUAAUAUAAUAUAUAUAUAUACACUUAAAUAUAUAAAUGUUUAUGUAAAAUAUAAAUACAUAUACUAUAUACAUAUAUAUUUAUUUAAAUAUAUAUACAUAUAAAUAUACAUAUACAUAUGUUUAAAAACAUAUAUACAUAUAUAUUAUAUAUAUUAUAUUUAAUUAAAUAUACAUAUAUACAUAUAUAAUUAUAUUUGUACAUAUACAAAUAUAUAAGUGCACACAUAUAUAAAAUGUCACUUCCUGAUAUGGCUUUCUGUGGAAGCUUUGACAUAUGGCAUUUGAGCAGUAAGCUUUGGCAUAGCUGGCAUUUGGCUUGGCUUGGCUUUGGAACAAAUGACUUGAUAUGACUGGAUCAAUUCUUCGAUCGAUAAAUACUUUGCAAAGCUUCGUACGUGCUGACGCUUAGUGCACUGGUCUGGUUCACAAGCGGCUAACACUGAAGUUAAACAUUGUACCGUCUUUGUCAGCAAACAUUGAUCAGUCGGUUCCGGGUUAGUUUAUGCUUCAGUUUGUUGAUUAUAAAUAACCAACCAAGAUAUAUAGAAAUAUCUUGCUUCAGGGGUUGCACUGAAAUCUUUCGAGUACUUGGACAACAUCUUCAUUGCUUCCACAAUCUUGAAUACUUCAAUCUUUAUUCUUCACUGAGGCAUGAACAUAUUAAUGAACUUCUUCCAGUGAACUUAUUCCUUCAAGACUGUAGAUGGCUUCUUCAACCUUUGUCUUCGUAUCUUCCGAUUCCGGUGCAGGCGUAGUGUUAUUUACUUGUCCUGUUCUAUUGUUGAGUUAUCAUCCCUAUGUAACAGAUAGGGUUGUCUUUACAUUUAGACUUACAAUAUCCCCCUAUUUGUUUGUUAAUCAUAACAAGCAAAUCCUCUGGAGGAUAACUCAACUAACACUAGAAAAAGUAAAGUCCUGGACUAGUAAAUAAUGCUACAAAGUUUCUGGAUCAUAUAAUACAUUUCCAGAUUUCAUGAAUAGAAAUAACAGAUGUGCAUAUCACCUUUAUUUCUCUGGUUCUUGCUUACCUGCCAGAUAAUCCUCAUAGUCUGUCUUGAAGAGAAUUCAAAACAUUCCAUUAUGCAAAGAACAAUCAGCAGCUUCAUUGAAUUCUUCAGUGGUAAUGAAUAAGUUCCUGUCUACCACUUACUGAAGAAUAAAUGUAUCACCUUAUACUUCUCCUCCCGUUACCUUGAUCAGGUUCCCCUUAGUGAUAAGUAGUUGUCUCCCCUUAGAUGAAAGAUCAAUCCUCCUCCUUAGUCUCAAGAAGAAUCUCCCCCUCAGUAGUACACAGCUAAAGAGUAGUUUAAUCCCCCUUAGUUGUAGACAGCUAAAGAAAGCUAACUUACUUUUUCUUCCCCCUUUCAUAUAUUCUCCCCCUAAAUAUAUUCUCCCCCUUAGUUGUGGAAUCCUCCGAGGAUAUGUGGUAUCAAAUAUGGUCAAGGAACGUGUCCAAUACAUCCUGUACCAAAAGAUAAUAUCCCCGUAGAGAACUAAACAACGCUAAAGCUGGGGUCGAAGAAAGAGUUCAGAAGAAGGGUUUACUUUGAUUGGGUUGGUCCCUAUGCUAAAAGAAUAGGUUCCAAACGGAAAAGUAAUGAAUAAGAACUGACAUUCCAGUAACAACAUCCACUUUGUCUUUAGGUAUAAAUUUGGUAAUUAGUGGGUGUCUCACUAAAAUGUUCUGCAGGUGUAUCACUCAACACUCAAUUUUCUCUCGGUUUUUGGGUAAGGGUGUCACUCACGAGUUCUGUAAGUGUAUCCCUCCACACAAAUACUGAGCUUCCAAAAUGCUGAGUACCUGCAAGAAAAUCACCUUAGCCACCCUUAAAGGGGGUCACCGGUGGUGCAAUGGGAGUUCGUAAUUCCCAGUCCCUGCAGACUCAUCAGAUAAAUCCGAAUCAUGGUCCACAAGUUGCCAACCACUAAGUGGCUUAUCCAAUUAAGGAUCCAGAGUUGUUUGCUCUAGGAGGUUAGGCAAAGACUUUAUUAUGGCAAAGGCCUAAGUCCUCCUCGAUGUCUGUGAAGACACUUGAUUCAACAGAAUCAUCAACCAUAGGUUCACAACAUGAAAUGGAAUGAACCGUAGUUGCUUCCGUCAAUUCUUUCAACAGCUUGUGAGCUUUCAAUACCAAUUAUUAUUAUAUGUACCUCACAAGUGUUUCAGUCUUCUCAAUUUCCUAUGUGUUUGCACCCACUCAUGNNNNNNNNNNNNNNNNNNNNNNNNUCAGAUGGUUCUUCUCAGAAUCUUACCAAGUGUUUAACUCUCAGUGUUUCUCUCAGCACUCAAAGUAUGAUCUUCUAUACCUGCAUGAGAAAAUCACCAUAGCCCCUUCAAGAGAGGUCACUGGCGGUGCAAUGGGGUUUCGUAAAUCCCCGAUCCUCAACUGACUCAUCAAUAAAUUGACUCAUAGUCAGAGAGUUGCCGAUCUCCUAUAAAUAGGAAAUCCAUUCCAAUUGGAUCCAGAUCUGUUCUUAUCUGGGGAGGGAGACGAGAAUCCUGAAGAUUUGGCAAUUGAGAUCCUCGUUUCCUCCUUACACCUGUAAAGGCAUCAACCAUCUUCUUUACCGUAAAAUGGUAAAUGAAGAAGUUGCUUCUGGAACAAAACCUUUAACCUUACUGUGCACUCUCUUGUAUUGUGUCCAUAAGAUUUUCUGUUUAGGCUCUUCAUCAGAGUGAUUACUAAUGAUGUGCUUGACUCAAUACAGGAUGCUCUGGCUGACGAGCGAAUUUCAAUGGACUCAUCCUGUUGAGAGAAUGAUUCCAGAGAUUGUUUAAUUGCCUUUUAAGCUCUAUAUUCUUUUGGGAGAAUACAGAUGAGCAACAGUUACCUCAAUUUUGAAAACACCUUUUCUCCUUGAGAGGUAGAGCUGUGGGUACACUAUCCCUUACAUCCUUAUUUGCUGCAACGAGUACAGUUUCUCCCUCAUUGACUUUUUGUUUGAAAAGUUCCUUAUUACUCCAGGGGAAAGUUGGGAUGUGUUUUGAAUUUGGUUUUAUAGUCUGGGAUAUAGAUUGUUGGUUUUCAACCUUAUGACUAUUUAGGAAAGCCAAGAGGCUGAUUAAGUACCGAAGAACAGAAUGAGAUAUAAAUGCACUUUAGAAAAUCUAUGAUUUUGAAUGAAGGCAAUUGUAUUUAAUCUUUUGAGAAAAAUGAAUCAGUUGUGAUUGUAAAAAAUGAUUUGCAUAAAGAAUGACAAUCACAACAGAUGAAAGAAUCAAGAUUUUCCAUUAAAAAUUGGUUUGAGUACGAGAGUCUGAAUCUAUGCAUAAAAGGUUUAAAUGAAGCUUUGAAAAAGACACAGACUCCUGUUUCUCACUACAAUUUAAAAAGGAAACAAGAAAAAUUUAUGCGCUACAGUGUAUAAAGCACUCGCCACACUAAUUAGUGAAAAGGCCUCAUACUAGCACAUCGUCAAAACAGACGCUGCAAGUGACAAAGAUCACCAAGUACACAAAUACAAGAUAAUCAAUGUCUCGUCCUAUGACGCUACAUGUAUAGAUGCAAAAUAUUCUAAGAAAUAUUUAUGAAAUAGAGUAGUGGAUACCAAUUGUUGAAAUCAAUUGAUAAGAAAAUUUCUUUGAAGAAACUCACCACUCCAGAACAUAAAUAUGAGACAGAAUAAAGAUUAUGUUGUCUCCCUUGUACUCAGAAUAUUAAACACCUAAAAUAUAUUAGCACUAGUGGUUUUAAGAAAUAUGCAACAAUAUUUCACCAGUGCCAAUACAUCACAAUCAAUUCACAAAUAAAACAUCAAUAAAGCAUCAAAGAGAGAUACCAAUUAAAUAAUUCAAAACGUUAAUUAAUCAUGCAUCUAUUAUUCUAUCAAAGUCAAUCAUGAAACAAAUAAGCAUAUAAUUGUCAUGGAUCACAAUUUAACUAAGAUAAAAUAAUAAUUACUUACGGAAUAUCAUAUAAUUAUCAGAUCAGCAUAUAACAACAAAAAUCAUGACAAUCAUACAAAGAUAUUCGUAAGCCCGAGGGAAAGUUGAAGAAAAGUUCACGAGUCUUAUACAUGUAAGCAUUGAGUACAAGUAAACUCACACAACUCCUCGCAGAAAAUAUUAACAAUUAAUAUUAGUGAUCUACAUAUAAGCAUGCAAAAAAUCACUAACACUAAAAGUAUCACACCUAUAUGCAGUUAGACAUGAAAUAAAAUACCAAUUAAUAAAUCAUCAAAUAUCUAACACAAAUAGCUAUGCUUCACAUAUAUACACUAAUAUAAAUGGAUUCAGCCUAGAGAGAAUCUAAGUAACUCCACAAAUACUAGUAUAUCAUGACUAAAUUCUAACUAGAUUCUAACCACAUACCAAUUACUGAUACAAGUCACAAGUCUAGAAACAAAUAAGUCAUGCUUCAGAUUUUAUACCUAUAAAAAUGAAUUCAACCUAGAAAAUAAUCCUAAGUAUGUUCACAAAUACAGAUAUAUCACGACUAGAUUAUGACAAAGUUCUCUACUAGAUACCAAUUGUUAA